ACUCGGUGCAGCAACCCUCGCCUGGGUCAGGUCAAUCGGCUGCCAGCCGGAUUGGCCGGCGUAUCAUUCCAGAAUGUACUGUUUGUUCUGUGGGGUUUAGGAGUUCUACAGUGGUUCUGCCCCAUCUUUCUAAAAAUACAAUACAGUGUUUCACUAUGUUACCCAGGCUGGUCUUGAACUCCUGGGCUCAAGUGAUCCUCCCACUUUGGCCUCUCAAAGCACUGGGAUUACAGAUAGGGUCUUACUCUGUCGCCCAGGCUGGAGUACAGUGGUGUGAUAUCGGCUCACUGCAACCUCUACCUACCUGGUUCAAGUGAUUCUCCUGCCUCAGCCUCCCGAGUAGCUGGGACUACGGGUAUGUGCCACCAUGCCUGGCUAAUUUUUUGUAUUUUUAGUAGAGACGGGAUUUCACCAUGUUGGCCAGGCUGGUCUUUAACUCCGGUCCUCAAGUGAUCCGCCUGCCUCGGCCUUCCAAACUGCUGGGAUUACAGGCAUAAGCAACUGUGCCAAGCCCCUUAAUUAUAAUAUUUUCAUGGCCUCUUUAGAGUUUUCUAUAUAUAAAAUCAUAAAACUAAGAUAAUUUUACUUUUUAGUUUCCAGUUUGUUUUUUUGUUUGUUUGUUUUUGAGACAGAGUUUUGCCCAGGCUGGAGUGCAGUGGUGCGAUUUCAACUCACUGCAGCCUCCGCCUCAGCCUCCUAAGUAGCUGGGAUUAUAGACAUGCACCACCACGCCUGGCUAAUUUUUGUAUUUUUAGUAGAGAUGGGGUUUUGCCAUGUUGGCCAGGCUGGUCUCAAACUCCCGACCUCAGGUGACCCACCCACCUUGGCCUCCCAAAAUGCUGGGAUUACAGGCAUGAACCACUGCGCCUGGCCUUUAUUUCUAAUUCGAAUGCUGUAUUAAUCAGGGUUCUUUAGAGAAACAGUACUAAUAAAAUAUAUAUAUAAAUAUAUAUUACAUAUGUAUAAAAUGUGAAUUUACAUAAUAUGUAAAAUUAGAGUUGGUUCAUAUGAUUAUGGAGGCUGAAAAGUCCCAUGAUCUUGCAGACAGCAGUCUGCAAGCUGGAGAUACAAGAAAGCCAGUGUUGUAAUUCAGUUCAUAUCUGAAGGUCUGAGAAAGAGGGAAGCUAAUGGUGUAUCUCCCAAUCUGAGUCUGAAGGCCUGAGAACCAAAGAUGGGAGGAAAACUGGUGUAAGGCUACAGUCCAAAGACCUGAGAACCAGGAGCUUUGAUAUUUGAGGGCAAGAGAAAAAUGGAUGUCCCAUCUCAAGAAGAAAGAGCGAAUUGUCCCUUCUGCCUUUUUGUUCAGUUCAGUCCCUCAACAGAUUAGAUGAUGCCUACCUACACUGGUAAGGGCAGAUCUUCUUUACUCAGUCUACCGGUUCAAAUGCUAAUCUCUUCCAGAAACACCCCCACAGACACACCAGAAAUAAUAUUUUAUCAGCUAUCUUUGUAUUCCUUAGCUCAGUCAAGUUGACACAUUAAAUUGACCAUCAAAAAUGCCUUUUAUUUAUUUUUCUUGUCUAAUUGUUCUUACUAGGACUAUGUGGAAUAUUGAAAGCAGGCAAUUUUUCCUGAUAUAAGAGAAUAAACUUUUAGUCUUUCAACCACUGAAUAUGAAGUCAGCUGUGGGAUUUUCAUUUAUGGUUUGUUAUGGGAAAGUAAUUUUUUAAAUUCCUAGUUUGUUGAGUGAUUUCAUCAUGAGUGUUCAGUUUUGUCAAAUGCUCUUUCUGCCUCAAUUGAGAUGAUCAUACAGUUUUUUCCCCUUCAUUCUCUUAAUGUGGUGUAUUACACUGAUUUUUGCGUAAUGAACCACAUUGGUAUUGAUUCUUUUUUAAAUGCUUGAUAGAAUUCACCAGUGAUGCCAUCUCGACAUGGACUUUUCUCAUGGAAAGUUUUAAAAUUACUAAACUUAUUAUAUUUAAUUAUUGUAAGGUUAUUCAGAUUUUAUAUUUCUUUUUGAGUUAAUUUUGAAAGUUUGUGUGUUUCUAGAAAUUUUUCUAUUUCAUCCAAGUUAUCUAACUUGUUAGUGUAUAGUUGUGAAUAUUAUUUCUUUGUAAUUCUUUUUAUUUUAUUGAGGUUGGUUGUGAUAUCCCUCUUUCAUUCCUGAUUUUUGUAAUUUGAAUUUUAUUUUUUUCUGGCCAAUUUAGUUAAGUUUGUGGGUUUUUUUUUUUUUUUUUGAUGGAGUCUCACUCUGUUGCCCAUGCUGGAGUGCGGUGGCAUGAUCUCAGCUCACUGCAGCCUCCACCUCCUGGGUUCAAGUGAUUCUUGUGCCUCAGCCUCCCGAGUAGCUGGGAUUACAGGUGCGCACCACCAUGACAAGCUAAUUUUUGUAUUUUUUAGUAGAGAUGGGGUUUCACCAUGUUGGGCAGACUGGUUUCAAACUCCUGACCUCAGGUGAUCCUACUGCCUUGGCUUCCCAACGUGCUGGGAUUACAGGUGUGAGCCACCAUUCCUAGCCAAGGUUUGUCAUUUUAGUUCAUCUUUGCAAACAAUUUUUGUGUUUUUAAAAAUCUGCUCAGUGUUUUUCUCUUCUCUACUUUAUUUAUUUUCAUUUUAACCUUAUUAUUUCCAUCCUUGGUUUUGCUUUGAUUUUAGUGGAAGAUGACAUUGUUGAGUGGAGAUUUUUUUUAAAAAAAGCAUUUAAAGCUAUAAAUUUCCCUCUGAGCACUUCUUUAGUUGCAUCUAUAAGCUUUGGUAUGUUGUUUUUAUUUUCAUUCAUCACAUGGGAUUUUCAAAUUUAAAUUUUUUCUCUGUCCCAUUGGUUGUUUGAGAGUCUCUUGUUUAAUUUUCAAUUAUUUUGUAGAUGUCUCAAACUUUCUCUCAUUGUUAUUUUCUAAUUUUAUUUCUUUGUAGUUGGAGAAUAUAUUUUGUAUGAUUUUAAUUCCUUUACAUUUAUUGAGACCUGGCUUAUGACCUAGUCUAUGGUUUAUUCUGAAAAAUGUUCUAUUUGUGCCUUAGAAGAAUGUGUACUGGCUGGGUACAGUGGGUCACACUUAUAAUCCCAGCAUUUUGAGAGGCUGUGGCAGAGAAUCACUUGAGGACAAGAGUUCGAGACCAGCUGAGCAGCACAGCAAGACCACAUCUCUAUUAAUAAUAAUAAUAAUAAUAAUAAUAAUAAUAAUAAUAAUAAGAAUGUGUAUUUUGCUGUUGUUGGGUGGAGUAUUCUAGAUGUAUGUUAGGUCUAAUUCACUUAUGGUGUUGUUCAAGUCUUCGGUUUCCUGUUAAAUCUUCUGCAUAAUUGUUUUAUUCAUCAUUAAAAGCAGAGUAUAAAGUAUCCAGCUUUUAUUGUGGAAUUGUCUAUUUUACCUUUCAAUUCCAUGAGUUUUUGCUUCAUGUAUUUUUUAGAUCAUUUUAAGUUUCUCUAUAGUAACUUUUCAUGCAGUUUUUUUUUCUUGUUAUGAUUUUUUUUGGAUGGAUUUUGAAACCCCUGCAUUUUAUAAUUGAUUUGUCUCCAGGGAAAUUAUGCCAUAAUGACAGUAUUAAACUAAAUAGCAAUUAGUAAGGUAAAUCAUUUGCUAUAUCCAUUUGUUUAUUAUUUUGCAACACUAUUGUAUUCUAUCAUCACUGAGGUUAAAAAUAUGUGUGUAUGGGAUUCUUUUUAUAUAUAUAGUUAUAUACCGAGGUGUGUGUGUGUGUGUGUGUGUGUAUUACAUAGAAAGAAGUCAUAACAGUUUCCUGAGAACAAUAAGUCAUAUACAUUGAAGUCUGUGGAUAACUUGAGCUUUCCUGGUGUAGAGGAAAGGGGUUGUAGAAGGUUGUUUUCCUCUAAAAUGCUUGUUAUAUGUGGAAGUGGUAUGGAAAACUCUGCUGUAGAUAGUUUGGAGUCUUGGCUACUUCAUAAAACAUGGAAUGAAAAAUUCGUCUUGAAAAUUACUGAUAAUGGUAAGUAUAACUAGGCAUUGCAUGUUUAUUUUUAAAAAGUCUUAUUGCUCUAAAAUAUGGAAUACUAAUCUAUACUCCCCAUCCAAAGAAUUUGUUUUUGGAAAUUCUUACUUAUAUUCUCCUCUUGCCAUCCUGCCAUCUCUCUUCUCUCCCCCGUUUCCCAUCCCUGCCAGGUCGACUCACCAUAAGUAGAAAAAUCUCACCAUAAGUAGAAAAAUCUCUUCAUUAAAUCUUAUCUGUACCAUGCUAUCAUCCCCAUGGUUCUUAUAUCUGCUACAAAAUAGCUAAUCUAAAAAACUAACUUGUACCAAUAUAAUGUGUUAGUCCUAUUUUGGUUAUCAAUGGCUACAUAAAAACAAAACAAAACACCAAAAAUUGAAAAAAAAAAAGCCCCAAAACGAAGUGAACUAAAGAUAUGAUGUCAUUUGCUUUACCAUCAAUUCUGUAACUUGGGAAGACAUGUAGACAGCUCAUUUCUGCUACACUUGGCUAGAGGCAGCUCAAGUGGCUUGGAGGCUGGGUACCAGAAUCUUCUGAAGACUUCACUUGCCUACAUGUGUGGCUUCAAUGCUGGCUGUGAGCUGGAACUUCAACUUUGGUAUGGCCAGAAUACUUACAUGUGGCCUUUCAAUGUGGCUACUUGGCUUCCUUACAUGGCGUCUGGGUUCCAAGGAUGAGCACAGAGAUAGAGAGAGAAAGAGAGAAAGAGAGAGACAGAGAGAGGGAGAGAGCAUGCCAGGCAGAAGCUUUAUUGUCUUUUAUGAACUAGUCACAAAAGUCAUGCAGCAUCUGUUCUGUUGUUUUCUUGUUGGCCAAGGCAGUCCAAACAGCCUACCUCAAUUCAAGGAAAAUGAAAAGAGGCUCCAAAUCUUGAUGGGGAGUGGUAACGAUCUGAUAGAGUGUGUGAAAGCAGAAAUAUUGCUGUGGCUAUUUUUGGAAAAUACAAUCUGCCACAUUUCUCAAUGGUAGUAUACAAAUUUUAAUUAGGCAACAUUGGGAUCUAAAGGAAUUAAUGUCAAAGUCAGAAUUUUAGACAAUAAAGCAUACCUCUCAGGGAGAUAUUUAGGCAGCAUGUUCAAUAACUUUCAAAUACUGUGGAGGCAACCACAUAUGCUGCAAUACCUGGGCCAGUUCUGUAAAGAAACAAUCAAGUUUUCUUUUCUUUUCUUUUUUUUUUUUUUUGAGAUGGAGUCUCACUCUGUUGCCCAGGCUGGAGUGCAGUGGCUCCAUCUCGGCUCACUGCAAGCUCCGCCUCCUGGGUUCACGCCAUUCUCCUGCCUCAGCCUCCCAAGUAGCUAGGAAUACAUGCGCCCACCACCACACGCGGCUAAUUUUUUGUAUUUUUAGUAGAGACAGGGUUUCACUGUGUCGGUCAGGAUGGUCUCGAUCUCCUGACCUUGUGAUCCACCCACCUUGGCCUCCCAAAGUGCUGAGAUUACCGAUGUAAGCUGCCACACCUGGUGGAAACAAUCAACUUUUGUAAGGACCAAGUGAGCCCAGCUUUCCAUGCAAAGUAGAAUUUAUUUUUGUAAAUUUAAUAAUCUCAAAAUAUGAAGAGAGUGUUUUAAGAAGCCUGUUGUCACCGCUGCUUCAACUUGUACAGAAAUAUUGCCAUCCAAAAUGAUCAAAAUAUUAUCAGUGUGGGUUCUCUUUUAAAACUCUGAAAUCACCUAAGUAUAAAAUUAGUACAGAUUAGACAGUUUGUAAGAUGUAUAUCAAAAAAAGUAGUAUGUCAAGGAAAGUCAGAAAAGGAAAUGGACUUGAAAGUCAUCUAAAAUUCUAUAAAGAAAGAAUGAUUCUAUUGCAACUGAGUGCCAAGAAUAUCAGCAGUGCCUUCUUCAUGCUGUUUUUGAACUUAAAGGCUAAAAGUGAUUGACAUUUCUAUAACCAGGCCUGAUAAUUUCCACGGUCAAUACGUGUCCAUUGAGAAAGUUCCAUAGCUGGUGGGGAAAAGAACUACUCCAAAAUUUUUUUGUUUGUCCCUUUGCCAAUCAGAAAUUUCUAGAAAUGGACACAUUUUACACUUUUAUGCAAAUACCAGUCUAAUUACUGGCACCAAAUACUGAAAAUUACUGGAAUAGAGCACUAAGUGAAUAUUGGGUUGUGAGAGUUAGUUAUGAUUCUGAUUUGAGAAGAAAGAGAUUGUUGCUUCAUACUCUUUUUUUUUAAGAUGGAGUCUCACUCUGUCACCAGGCUGGAGUGCAGUGGCAGGAUCUCGGCUCACUGCAACCUCCAACUCCCUGGUUCAAGUGAUUCUCCUGCCUCAGCCUCCCGAGUAGCUGGGAUUACAGGCAGGCACCACCACGCCCAGCUAAUUUUUGUGUAUUUAGUAGAGACGGGGUUUUGACGGCUGUUACAGUCCGUUGUUGUCACUCCCUGUUUACUCCCAUGAGUUGAAGGUUAAAGGUUAGGGAAACCCAAAGUUAUCAGUUAACCAGAAUACUUGACUAAUUCUCCUUUACCGUUCCUCUGGACAAAGGGCCUUUAUUUUAUAUGUAAUCUCAAGACCAUUGUGAUAGGUACAGGGAGUUCUUGUUAAGUAAGUGCUCAGGAUCCAAGCUACUCCACAGUUAGAAUAAAUGUGUAAAUGAAUGUACUCACUAAUGAACCAAACACUUAUGAAAUUAGUCUCAUCUAAGUGAUUCAAUCAUUAGCACUUGUUUCUAGCCCACCCAUCAGGUCAAUUAUUGGGGAGCCUGCCCCCAAUAGUCACGUAGGUUCUUUUCUAUUUUACCUAAGCGUCAGCCAGGUUGAGAAAUAAAGGGACAGAGUACAAAAGAGAGAAAUUUUAAAGCUGGGCAUUGGGGGGAGGCAUCACAUGUCGGUAGGUUCCGUGAUGCCCCCUGAGCCGUAAAACUGGCAAGUUUUUAUUAGUGAUUUUCAAAAGGGGAGGGAGUGUACGAAUAGGGUGUGGGUCACAGAGAUCACAUGCUUCACAAGGUAAUAGAAUAUCACAAGGAAAAUGGAGGCAGGGUGAGAUCACAGGACCACAGGACCGGGGCGAAAUUAAAAUUGCUAAUGAAGUUUUGGGCAUGCAUUGUCAUUGAUAACAUCUUAUCAGGAGACAGGGUUUGAGAGCAGACAACUGGUCUGACCAAAAAUUUAUUAGGCGGGAAUUUCCUCAUCCUAAUAAGCCUGGGAGCACUAUGGGAGACUGGGGCUUAUUUCAUCCCUACAGCUCGACCAUAAAAGACGGCCGCACCCAAGGGGGCCAUUUUAGAGGCCCACCCUCAGGGACGCAUUCUCUUUCUCAGGGAUGUUCCUUGCUGAGAAAAAGAAUUCAGUGAUAUUUCUCCCAUUUGCUUUUGAAAGAAGAGAAAUAUGGCUCUGUUCCACCCGGCUCACCAGUGGUCAGAGUUUAAGAUUAUCUCUCUUGUUCCCUGAACAUUGCUGUUAUCCUGUUCUUUUUUCAAGGUACCCAGAUUUCAUAUUGUUCAAACACACAUGCUCUACAAUUUGUGCAGUUAAUGCAAUCAUCACAGGGUCCCGAGGUGACAUACAUACUCCUCAGCUUAUGAGAUGACAGGAUUAAGAGAUUAAAGUAAAGACAGGCAUAGGAAAUCACAAGGGUAUUGAUUGGGGAACUGAUAAGUGUCCAUGAAAUCUUCACAAUUUAUGUUUAGAGAUUGCAGUAAAGACAGGCAUAAGAAAUUAUAAAAGUAUUAAUUUGGGAAACUAAUAAGUGUCCAUGAAAUCUUCACAAUCCACGUUCUUCUGCCAUGGCUUCAGCCGGUCCCUCCAUUCAGGAUCCCUGACUUCCCGCAACAGUCAAUGUCAAGCAGAAUAUGUAAUGUAAAUAGAACCCAAAUAUAUUACACCAUAAAUUUGCAAACCUUGUAAAAGGAUGAUGGCGGCUGGGCGUGGUGGCUUACGCCUGUAAUCCCAGCACUUUGGGAGGCUGAGGCAGGCGGAUCACAAGGUCAGGAGAUCGAGACCGUCCUGGUCAACAUGGUGAAACCCCAUCUCUGCUAAAAAUACCAAAAAAAAAAAAAAAAAAAAAAAAAAAUAGCUGGGUGUGGUGGCAUGUACCUAUAGUCCUGGCUACUCAGGAGGCUGAGGCAGGAGAAUGGCGUGAACCCGGGAGGCAGAGGUUGCAGUGAGCUGAGAUCGGACCACUGCACUCCAGCCUGGCAAAAGAGCGAGACUCCGUCUGAAAAGAAAAAAAGAAAAAAAGGAUGAUGGCAACACAGAUACUUUAGAAAUGAGGGAUUCGAAUAUCAAAGGGUAAGGUAAAGUCCUUGGGAAAAUUGAUGAAAUUCUAGAAGACUUUUCAAAAGUCUGAAAAUGGAAUAUGAAAGAAAGACUGACAUAGGAGCUUUCAUAUAAUUUUAUCAAAAGGAUCAUGCCAAAAGCAAAAAGUCAAUCCUUAAUUCUAUUUUUGUUUCUUGUAGGAAUUAGGACAUAAUUGUUAUUAUAAACAAAUUUUUAAGUGUAAGAUUGAUUUUUAAAAAAUAAUCUUUAGUUUCUCUUUGCAAUAUGAUUGUCCCUAUAAAAUUUUUCCAUUAUUUAAUAAUAAAUGAUAUUCCCAUUUUUAGUGGAUUUAAUGUUUCUUUUAUGAAUUAUCUUCAAAUAAUGACGUUAUAAACUGAUACUUUUCAUCUUGUCAGUUUCUCAAAGGCCUGGAUAUGAACAUAUUCUCUCUCCAGGACUGGAACCCUAAAGAUACUUCCUAAUCCUAAAUACUGGUUGAUAUCACCCUUAACAAUUUUUAGACUUACAGUAGAUUCAGUUUAGAUAUUCUACAUUAGAUUACAGUUGGACAUUCUAGUUAGACAUUCUAGUUAGUAACAUUCUAGUUAGAGUUUGACAUGACCUUGGAGAUUUUCCACUGGAGCCCUCCUAUCUUCCCAUUGAGGAAACUCAAAUCCGACCCUGGUUUCCCUGUUAACUGCUCUAGUAACAUUGAUUCUGUUGUCUCCAUAUGCUUGGACCUUUCCCAACUUGCGUGUGGGGUCUCAUCUAAACAGAAUUCUGCCUGAAAUGUUUCCCCCGCCCCACACUUCCCUCCACCCUUCUCAAUUUUUACCAGCCCUUUAAGAUCAUUCACUCAAUCUCUUAGGAGGAGAGAAAAAUAACUUUUUCUGUUUUAAAUUUUUUUUUCUUGGAUGCCUUGAAUAUUAUUUAUAUCUCUGGCUUUGUAAAAUAAAAAUAUACAAUUGAAAAUGUUCAGAAAGACCAGGUGUUAUGGCCAGCACUUUGGGAGGUGGAAGAAGGAAGAUCACUUGAGGCCAGCAGUUCAAAGCCAGCCUGGGACCCUGUCUCUACCAAAAAAAAAAAAAAAAAAAAAAGAAAAAAAUUAGCCAGGCAUGGUAGUGUACACCUGUAGUCCUAGCUACAUGAGAGGCUGAGGUGGGAAGAUCACUUGAGCUCAUGAGCUUGAGGUUACAGCAAGCUAUGAUCACAACACUGUACUUCGGCCUGGACAGCAGAGCGAGAUCCUGUCUCAUCCUCAAACAGCAGAAUCUCACAGCAUUUAUCAACAUGUCUAAAGAGAGACAAAGUACAGCACCUAGGCAUGUGUUUCUUUUUGGGGAUUUGGUGACAUCACAGGAAUUGGUGUACAAAUACAUCGACUGGAAUAUCCAAGGCGCUUCCCUCUCGGUUUAUCAUGGAGAUGAAUCCAAAUCCCAUGCGCACAUUGAACCACUUACAGUGGCCAGUUCCGCGCAAAACCUGGGAUUCCUCCUCUGCCGGCUCCAGCAGCUUCCCGGGGUCUUCUCCACGACCUUUGCUCGCCCCGCCAAUUUAAGAAUAUGGCACUGUUUUUUCUGUGCCUUCCCCCAAAACUUUUGAGCCUAAAAUCCUUUUAUAAUAUAAAUUGCCCAUAAGCUUUUAAAGCUCCUAGAGUGCUUCUUUCACAUAAAGUCGUCCUAUGAGUCUUCUAGAAUGCUUUCCAAUUUGUCACUUUCCUGAAGUCUUCUGGUUUUAAUUUUUUUUCUCAUUUCCUACUUGUUUUUAGUGCCUGAAAGACCUGUGUUUGACUCAAAAGGCGUGUUUUAUUCCCGCAAAAGCCAAAUACUUUAUAGCUUGACUUAUAGUUCUUUCGAAAUGUCUUUAAAAUCAGUUCAAGUAGCUACAAAGAAUCGUCAAUGUACUGGGGGGAAAAAGCAAGGAAAUAAAACUAUCAUAUGCCUGUUGGCUAUCACAAUCAUCCCCAUUUAAAAAACAAGGUACACGUUUUCCCAGACUUUUUUUUCCAACAGUACAAGGAGCCGAAAGAGGUGCCAGAGCCCACCGUCGUUGUUUUCAGUUAUAAGGAAUGAGUGACUGCUGUUAAAGCAGAAACAAUGCUUCGGUUCUUCUUAAAACUAGGAGGAGGGGGCUGUGGCAAUGCGGCAAGUGACUCCACCCGUCCUCUCCUCCCCGCAGAUAAGGCGGGGUCUGUAGCCCAGCGCUGCCAUCGCAACCUGCCUCUCCAGGCAGGUGGCUCCCCAGGCGGCCGAGACCUGAGACCCCAGACCCCGCGCCAGCAGAUCUGCACUUUCCCUCCACCUCCUGCCUCUGCAGCUUCCUCUCACCUUUCUUUCCUCAGUCACUUUUCCCUUUAUUCGUCAUUUUACCAUCUCCUCUCCCUAAGUGGGGUAGAUCCAAAGAAGGCUGGUGAUUUCUCACUAAUUAAGGGACUUUUACAUUUGUCAUCUUGUCCCCAAGAACACCAAACAAAAGAAAUCCGUGCCUUCACUACUAUGGCAAAAACACUGUGCACAACCUACUAUUUUUACUGAAUUUCCAGACGUAUAUCAUUUAUAAUUUGAUCCCUUUUCCUAUGAGAUGCCAGAAUCUCCUAAAGCUAAGCUAAGUGUGUUCCUCUGUUUUAAAUUUUUAUAUCACUUGUCUGUGUACACAUUUGGCAGUUAUCACCUAAUGUUUUCUUAGCACUAAUAGUGACAGGUAAUUCCAUAUCUACUGAUGUCACUCAAAUCAUCUCCACAUUCCGCUUUUUUUUUUUUUUUUUUUGAGGUGGAGUCUCGCUCUGUUGCCCAGGCUGGAGUGCAGUGGUGCAGUCUCGGCUCACUGCAACCUCUGUCUCCUGGGUUCAAGUGAUUCUCCUGCGCCAGCCUCCUGAGUAGCUAGGACUACAGGCAUGUGCCACCACACUCAGCUAAUUUUUUGUAUUUUUAGUAAAGAUGGGGUUUCACCAUGUUGGCCAGGCUGGUCUUGAACUCCUGAACUUCAGCAGUCUGCCUGUGUUGGCCUUCCAAAGUGCUGGGAUUACAGGCGUGAGCCACCAAAACCUCAUUUUUGAGACAAAAGUCCUUAGCAUUUUAACUGCUUGUUACAUUUAUCUCCAUAUUUUUAUUUAUUUUGUACUUAACAACUUUUUUUCUCACAGACAAUUUUAAACACACAUAGAAAUUCUCCCUGUUUGAUUUUUAAGAGUUUCUUUGUUCUGUUUAUUUUAGUUUCUGUCUUAUUUUGCUUUGGAGUUUCUGUUGGCUGCUCAUCAUUAGAAGUGAGUAAUUAGAAAGCUGUUUGGGAGCUGUGUGUAUGUUUGUGGUAUUUGUUGACUAAUGGGCUAAUGGGUUUCCUUGUAGGGUGGCAGUACUUAUAUGGGGCAUAAUUGUUUCCCCUAGGAGACAUUUGGCAUUGUCUCGGGACAUUUUUGAAUGGCCAUCACUGACAUGUAGUGGGAGAAACCAAGGAUGCUUUGAAACAUCCUGCAAUGCACAAGACAGCCUCAGCAACAAGGAAUUCUAUGGUCCAAAACGUCAAUCAUGCCAAAGUGACUGGGCAUCAUCAUCUCCGGCAUAUUGAUGAUUAGACAACUGAGAGAUCUAUUCACAAAACUAUUUCACAAAAAUUAUAUAUAGAGCUUCUUGGGGGGCAUUUAUUUUCUCCACCAAGGGAUCCUCUGAUAUUCUGUCAGCAGAUAUUUUCUUAAAAUUAAAUUUAUUUGAAAGUGUUUUGAGAGUGAGGUAGGGAAGGGAGCUGGCAUUCUCAGAACCUGUCUUUAGUUGGAUGCCUUCUCCUGCUUUCUGGGUGCCAGGUGUUCCAGAGUCUAGGGUCUCUCUGCUGCAGUGUCCUUUGAGAACAAGCACUGCAGUAUGCUGUGGGGGUUAGGGAAGAGCAGUUGCUUGGCUGUGAUGAGGGCAUGGGGAUCUGAGAGCUUAACUGCUCCUUAUACAGAUUAUCAACUGAUCACAUACAUUUCAGUCUAUCUUCUAGGUUACCUGGAGCCUUCAAUUUCUGUGAGCUUCUCUCUCCUCCCUCCUUCCCGUCUCACCUUCCCUCCAUCUCUUCCUUCUUUCCUUCCUUCUUUUUCUCCCUUUCUUUCCCUCCCUCCCUCCCUUCCUUCCCUCCCUCCCUCCCCUCUUUCCUUCCUUCCUCCUUCCCUCCCUCCUUCCCUCCCUUCCCCUCUUCCUCCCUUCCCCCUUUCUCCUUUCCUCCCUUCCUCCCUUCCUUCCUUCCUUCCUUCCUUCCUUUUUUUCUUUCUUUCCUGAAUAGGAUUUCUUUUUUGGAAACCUUUCCUGAAGUCAUGUUUUAAGCUUUCUCAGCUCUGGUAAAUCAGUUACCAUUCCUAUAUCAACUUUCAGUCUCAAAAAAACAUGUUAAUUUCUUCUUCAUUGUCUCCUCUCCCAUUCUCUUUACAUUUUGAAUUUAGACUUUUUACAUUUAUUUCACUAUUGCUUUAGUGAAUUUUUAUUGAACCGUGUGACAAUCAACCAUAUAUUCAGCAUGCCUUGUUAAAAGGUAGUUCAAAUAUGCCCUUAAUCUUUUUGCGUGGCUUUAGAGUAUCAGAUAAUUUUAAAAAAUGAUAUAAAAUAAUGAAGUGAUUCAUACUCCAGAGAUUCAUCAUCUCCUUUUCUGGGAUAGGGCAUCUGAUGUACAAAUAAGGGCAAAUGACCAGGGGGCACAGAUUGUCAGACCUGAAACAGCAGUGUUCACUGGAGAAGUUUCAGACUGUAGGGGUAGCAGGCACGUGGGCACCUUUGGCCUGUUUAUUCUAGGCCAGCACAGAGUUCUAGCAAAGCCAGACUUCAGAUUGCCUGAGAGGGGCUUUCACCUGCAUAAUUAGGGAUGCUCCAGCCCCUCUCCUAGAGUGGUAAGAGGCCAUGAUACAAUAGCACUAUGACGUGAUGGAAUCUUGGCAGCAGCCCUAGCCCUUACCUAGAGAAUGGCAAAGCUGCAGAAGAAACUGCCAAUGGAGUGCUCAACUCCAGAAGCCUGAAACCUAGGUCGGCUUGGCAAGGUGCCUUGCGCCCCAGUGUCAUGGCUGCGGUGGAGCCGCCCACUUCAAGGGGCCCUGCAGAAUCAGACAGUGAGGAUAGUGGCAGCAAUCACAAUGGGCUGAAGAUUAAAUAACUCUUGUUGACUUUUUCAAGUAUUUAUAAGCUCCCCAGAUUCCCAUGGAAGUCUACAGAAGGACAUAAUGAGAAAAGUAGGUUUAAAGGAAAUAAUGUGAAAUUUCUUCCACACUUGAGUUGGUGAGUUAAACGCCACUUAGUCUAUAUGUGGUUUAAAUGUUGUCCCAUUGCCUCAUUAUGGCCUGAUGUAAAUUCAUAUGAAACUAGGAUAUUUAAAAGCUUAUUGGGAUAGCAAAAUAGAGUUGAUGUAUUCACUGCAAAGAUUAUGGAGACCAUUUAUUGCUCUGAACAUUUCAAUAUGUUGGCUUCUUGAGAUUCCAACCCCAAGGGGACAUGAUAGUGAUGAAGAUGGAGAAAUAGAAGUUUAAACAGCACAAUUUGAAGAGGGGGCAAAAGUAACACUUUGAUGAACCUAGACCAUAUAGACCAGUAUAAGGUCAGCAAAGUCUGGAGGACCAUGUGCUCUCUCCCUAGAUUGGACCAGAAGCCCAGGCUCUACUUUUAGGAAAUGGCUCAGAGAGCGCCCACUGAACUUGUCUCUGAUGUCUUAGGCAGAUCAAAUGCUUCUCUGGUCUCUGCUUUCACAGAUGGAGGAUCAGGGGUGUGUGAGCACCACCCCGCUUGGUCUUGGAGACGGAUCAAAUCCAGACUGGUGAGUUCCGGGGGCUUGGGCAAAGUGUGGAUAGAGUUUCUGAGGGUAGGAUGAUGAGGACAUUUGGCUUGGGGGCUGAGAAGGAACAUUUUUCCUGUAAAAUUAAAUCUUUACUAAGACUACUGCCAUUAGGGGCAAGUACUGAAGAAGAUCAUGUGUUUCAAAGUAAGUAGCCUGACAAGAUCUUGUUUGGGUUAAAAAUACGUAUUUAUCUUAUUUUCAUUUUCAAUAUCUUAUUUUACAGAGUUCUCUAUUAAGAGAUGCUAUGAGUGGCUAGGCGUGGUGGCUCCUGCCGGUAAUACCAGCAUUUUGGGAGGCCGAGGCAGGUGGAUCGCCUGAGGUCAGGAGUUUGAGAGCAGCCUGACCAACAUGGUGAAUCCCCAUCUACUAACAAUACAAAAAUUAGCUGGGUGUGGUGGCGCAUGCCUGUAAUCCCAGCUACUCGGGAGGCUGAGGCAGGAGAAUUGCUUGAACCUGGGAGGUGGAGGUUGCAGUGAGCUGAGAUAGCACCAUUGCACUCCAGCCUGGGUGACAAGAGUGAAACUCCAUCCAAAAAAAAAAAAAAUGCUAUGAGUAAACAGCAUUGCACCGUUAAGUAGUUUACAGGAUCUGUUGAAGAAGACAGGGAGUCUCUUACCAACAACAAAAGGCGUUCCAACGCCUGGAAUUCAACCGUAUGGAUGCACAGUGUGUUCUAGUUAUAAAGUGGCUGAUUUCAGGUAAAAGGAAAAAGUAAAGGAAAAAAUCCUGUAGUGAGUGGGAAAUAAUAAAUGCCUACGAGGCAAUCCUUGGCAUUCCUUGGCCUGUCACUCCAGUCUCUACCUUCAGCUUCCCAUAGCCAUCUCCAUAUUUCUCCUUUUCUCAAAUCUCCCUCUCUUUUCUCUUAGAAGGAUGCUAGUCAUUGAACACAGGGCCUUCCUAAAUCUGGAUGAUCUCAUCACAAGAGUCUUUACUUAAUUACAUCUGCAAAGCCCUUUUCUCCAAAUAACAUCAUGUUCGCAGAUACUGAGGGUGGGGCCUGGAUACAUCUUUCAGGGGCCACUAUGAAACUCAUUACAAAGGCCUAAUUCAUUUUUCCUGAUUGGCCCACACUGCUUCUCCGUCCUCUGGGAUGCUGCAGUACUAUUCUGUUUGUGCGCCUGUCUCACAGGAGUGAUUAGCAGAUCUUUAUACUCGGUGUCUCUAGCAUGAUGCCUGAUGUACCAUAAGGCUUCAAUGUGUUUGUUGAACUUAAGCAAAGCAUCGCUUGCAUCAUGUCCUGAGUGUAAGCCUGGCUCACACUCAGCCGUGAUAUGUUAUUCAGAUCACAGCCACUCACGAUACUCUGGGAAGUCAGCACGCUCCUACCAAGGCCAGACAUCUCUGAACUGGAAAACACUUUACUCAGAGCUACCCAUUUUUUUUUAUGUCUUAUAGAAGGGGCCAAGUGGAGAGGGCAGCUACUCAUGUACUCAUUUUUAUUCAUUCGUUUGUUCAUCCAUUUAAGAAACACUGAACACCUAUUCUGAGCCAGGCCCUGCCCCAGGCAUUUGAGAUACAAUGUGUGUAUGGUAAAACCCUCAGCAUCUGGGCUGGGAUUGGAACAAGUGAACACUCAAUUUACAUUUAUUGUGGUCAUGGCCUGAGUGUGGAAGGAAGUGUAGAGUGCUGUGAAAGUCCUCAGACAGGCCCCGAACCUAGACUAGUGGUCAGGGAGAUUGUCCUGGAGGAAGUGACAUAAAUACUGAGACUUGGAGAGAGAGGGUGGUCACCUCAAGUGCAGUGGUGGCAGUGGAGAAUUUCAGAAAUGUAGGUGGUAACAUAGGAAAGUUUGUUUUUUUGUUUUUUUUGUUUUUGUUUUUGUUUUUUUAGACAGUGUCUCGCUCUGUCACCCAGGCUGGAGUGCAGUGUGUGAUCUUGGCUUACUGCAACAUCUGCCUCCUGGGUUCAAGCGAUUCUCCUGCCUCAGCCUCCCGAGUAGCUGGGACUACAGGCGCAUGCCAUCAUGCCCAGCUAAUUUUUGUAUUUUUAGUAGAGACAGGGUUUUGUCAUGUUGGUCAGGCUGGUCUCGAACUCCUGACCUCAGGUGAUCCACCGCCUUGGCCUCCCAAAGUGCUGGGAUUACAGGCGUGACCCACAGCACCCAGCUGCAGGGAGGAUUUUAAAGGCAAAAAAAGGGGGACAGGGAGCGGCUGAUAUAAAAUUGUCAGGAAUUCUCAUUGGUUUAUAGAAAUAACAGUGAUUAAUGAUUGGCUACACAUUGUUAAGUUAUAGAGUAUGGAUUAUGGUGUCCAUUGUUGCAUUGUUAGAUAAUUUAUAGCUACUUAUAGCAACAGUAAGCAGUUUCAAGAGAUGAAUACAUAGUUCAAAGGGCAUAUGCUGGUCUCAUUUUAAUGUCUCUCUAGGCCUGGUAAUUUAAAAUAAUUUGUGUUGUUCACAUGUUAAUUUCUUGUCUCAGCCUGCAGAAAUGCCUUUUAAAAAUGGUCUUGCUCAUUAGCUGUGUCUUAUUAUGAAAUUGUGUCAUUAGAAGUUGGUCCAUCAUUCCCAAAUUGUGGUCCCCAGAUAAACAAUAUCGUAUUCUAGGGGUCAAGGAGAAAACUUCCCCUUUGCCCUCUGAAGGUUUGCUGAAAAAUGAACUCACAAAAGGCAGAUUAAUUAGAGAAAAGGCAUACAAAAUUUAUUAACGUGUACGUGGGAAGGACUACAGUGUGACUGCCCAACCCCGUAAUGGAAUGCAACUUGAGCUUACAGAAAUAAUGAAGGCUCACUGCAUGGCCGAAACCAGGUUAUGGUGGUCAAUCAGGUUAUAGUGGCAAGACAGGUUAUGGGACGGGGAGAAGAAGUGGCUUGUUUAGAAAAGGUGAUCUUGUUAGGUAACAAAGUAGCAACCUUCAGAGAGAUAGGUGGUAAAUGUUUCUUUCUGAUGUUUAAAGGUGUCAGACUCUCAGGUAAUCUUCCUACAUCUGGACAAGGGAGGACCUAGCUGCAUUAAUGUAGAUUCUCUACAGAUGCAAAUCUUCCCCACUAAAGAUAGCCUUGCAGGGCCACUUCUGUUUGCGGGCUCUUUGACAACCAUCUAUCUCCCAAAAUAUGUCAAGUAAAUAUACUUUGGGGUAAAAAAUUUUGAUUUCCUUCAAUAGUAUCUGGGAACUCAUUAGAAAGUCACAUUGUCAGAAAGUGUAGUGAUGGGGCCCCCAUAUUCUGAGCUUUAAAAAGCCCUCCAGAAUAUUCUGAUGCACUUUGAUGCAGCUGGAGAGACACUGCCUUGAAGAAUUGCAUCCUUAGCUAAAUACAUAGUAAAACCCAACGCAAAGUCAAAUAGUAUCUAAGUGAAAUCAAAUCAAAAUGCAAAUCCCCAUGGGGAUACUUUGCAGUAGGAAUUAUUUUUAAUAAGAUUACAAAGUAAAUGAAUCAGAUUCUUUUUAAUGUAACAGCUGACUGACAGCUGGUUUUGACAGGGUGAAAGCCUGUGAGACCACAGAACAGCAAGGCCUUGGCUGGGAAUGUGGGGCACACAGUGGAGGAGAACUCGAAGAAUGUGUUAGUAGUUUCGUUGCUGUGAUUAAGGAAGUUGGCAUGUUGCUGCCAAUCAAAUCUUGUGUUGAGGGGGUGUUUUUAAAAUUAGAGAUGCCUUUUGGAAAGAUUCUCUAGCUCUGGUUCCUGAACACAAGGGGUUUGGUGUUCCUCCAUGUAGCCACUAGAUGGCAGGCUCACGCCAUUUUUCAAGCAGCCAACCCUGUCUAAAUUUAGGGGGGGAAAUGAGCCUAGGAAUUUGAAAAGGGUGCCAGCUUAUUCGUUUUUAUCCUGCGCGUGGUUUUGACAUUCUAUUUUUUUGGACUUCAUCCAUUAAUUAUGACACUCAAAGUUUUUUGUUCACUGAGAGGCAAAGAGCCAAAGCUUUAAUUAAACCCGUGGGGGCACUGCCUUGCGGCAGAGAAGGGUAACUACCAUGUGCCAGCGCUUACAUAAAUUGUUUCAUUUAAUUCUCACAGCAUCCUCAUGAAAUAAGUGUUGUUAUCCACAGUUUUACAUAGGAGAAAACUGACGGUCAGAGAGGCUUAGCAAGAGCCCAAGACCACCCAGCUGAAAGGUAGAAAUGAAUUUGCCAGUAAACCACGCUCAUUAAAUUCUUGAGGAAUAGUCAUUGCAAUUAGUAGAUUUAUUGCAAUCUUAGGAAAGUACAGCUAGAUUCAGCCCGAGGUUUUAUGAUGAAAUGAGAAUUAUACACGUUUUUUUUUAAAAAAAUAUAUUCUCAGUAUUGCAACAUUCUAAGUUCCACUGGUUUUAUUUGCAGAAUGGCAUGUUAGCCUUUUCUAGAUUUAUUAUAGAAAAUAAAUCAGUUUAUUUUUAUGUUUUUUGAGACAGAAUCUCUCACUAUGUCGCCCAGGCUGGAGUGGUGGAGAGGCGCAAUCUCGGCUCACAGCAACUUCCGCCUCCCAGUUCAAGCGAUUCUCCUGCCUCAGCCUCCCGAGUAGCUGGGAUUACAGGCACCCACCAGCACGCCUGGCUAAUUUUUGUAUUUUUAGUAGAGACAGGGUUUUGCCAUGUUAACUAGGCAGGUCUUGAACUCCUGACCUCAAGUGAUCCGCCCGCCUCGGUCUCCCAGAGUGCUGGGAUUACAGGUGUGAGCCACCGUGCUCGGCUGGAAAUAAAUCAGUUUUAAUUAGGAUUUAGAAAUUAAAUCUCUGAAUCUAACUGAAUGUUAGAAUUGUAACCCCUAAGCUCCAAACUGUAAUCUAUUUGCAUAGAAAUUUAGGUGUGAUUUUCUUGUAGCAGGCACCACUUUCUACUUUGUAUUAAAAUUGCAUCAGUUCCUGAAAUCCUCUACUUCCUUGUGAAUCCAGGAAGACAGGCUCCUUGCCUGAGUCAUUUUUUAAUAUUUUUGGCUUACGUUGCCUUUAUUGAUUGUUUUCCCAAAGCAUUCAACUUAGUUCUCAUAGAAAUAGCAACUUUUCUCCCUUUUUGCCCUAAGUUUUCUUUGCCUUGUGUAUUAAAUUUUACUGUCUAAUUACAAACACACUCUUAGUAAGCAUGCAACACAGCUGGAGGCAGCAGAAGUGUGUGGGCAUUCCAGGAAGUCACAUACAAGCCUCAAACAUUCAGCCUGCCCUGGCCACUAGUCAGUAGGUUUUGCAGAGGUGCUCGAGAAUUUGCAUUAAUCUACUGAGUCUAGUAAGAGAGUUUCUACUGUAUCUGGAUUGUGUCUCUCAGAUAGGCUGACAAAACCACAAGGUGGAAACCAUGAAUGGUAUUAGUCCAUCUCAAUAAUAAAGCAACAUUUGGCUGCCAUUUUAUCUGUCUGACUUUUCUGAAUCAACUGAUAUCUCGGCAUCAUAUAGAGGCACCUUUGUGUGUGUGUGUGUGUGUGUGUGUGUGUGUGUUUGAGACAGAGUUUUGCUCUGUUGCCCAGGCUGGAGUGCAGUAGCACGAACUUGACUCACUGCAACCUCCCGCCUCCCAGGCUUAAGUGAUUCUCCUGCCUCAGCCUCCUGAGUAGCUGGGAUUACAGGAGUGUGCCACCACGCCUGGCUAAUUUUUUGUAUUUUUAGUAGAGACAGGGUUUUGCCACAUUGCCCAGGCUGGUCUCGAACCCCUGAGCUCAGACAAUCUGCCCGAGAGGCAACUUGUUGGGAGAAAUAACCAGUUUGAAUGAGAGAUCCUGUAAGGAUUGGUUGAUCUUCUUGGGGAAGAAAAACUAAGCAAAAUAAUUAACCACGUGAAGAAACGAUUUAACAGACACUUCUCUUGUCAGGCAAGGGAAGUAAUGUUUAUUGAGCUCCAAUUUUAUGCUGUGCACUGAGUCAGAGAUUGCACACAUGCCACCUGAUUCGCUCCUUACAACAGUAUGAUAAAUUAAAAAUUCUUAUUCCCAUUUUACCGAUAAGGAAACUCAGUCUCAGAACACUUUCAGUAACUUACAUGUGAUAAAACAGGUAGUAAGUGGCAGGAAGUUAUCAGGAAGAGUGUGUGUAAUCAGGGCUGGGGCAACACUGGUGCAAAAUAAUUUAUGAUAAGUGAAACAUCUACAAUUUUCGUAAGAACAGGAUCAGUAAUAACGUUGUGCUGAACCAUACUGGAGCCCGAAGCCAAGGGAAUUUUUUGAUGCCCCUUAAAUUCUGUGCCAAGACAGGAGCCUCAUUUGCUUCGCCCUAGGCCCAGCCCUGCAAAUACUACAAAGUGCUUGUUCAGAAAGCUUUUUUCCAACAUUUAUCUAAUAACAAUUUAUUGACUGGCUACUGUGCACCCGUCACUAUGAUCGGGUUUUGAAACAAAACAUUAAGUUAGAAUGUACCUGAUUUCUGCUUUCCUGAUACUUGUGGAACACCCUGCUCAAAGCUGGAAAGUAUUAUUAUACAAUAGAUGACUCUUAGCUGGAAAGUAUUAUUAGAUAAUAGAUGACUCUUAGUCACUUACUCCUUUGUUGUAGAUAAGGAAAAUGUGGCAAACUAGAGCCAUGGAAUUGGACUUUCAUGGCCCCCAUGUCUCUGCUGAAUUUUGUAACUUCAGAAAACAAUUUGUAGAUUGAGAUCACAAAGUCUUAUGUUUGAUGUGUUGAAUAAACCAUGUUCUUCAAGAUCUUCUCUUUCAUUAGUAUCCCUUGACCAGGCAGAUUGGAAUAUUGUCCUAAUCAUGGAGACCAUACGUUAUCUUUCAGUUUCAUAGUGAUUACAAGCAUGAGUUUUGGCACAGCCAGACUUGAGUCUGUGAGUUAUUAAGAACAAUUGGGGCCUGGUGUGGUGGCUCAAGCCUGUAAUUCCAGCACUUUGGGAGGCCGACGCGGGUGGAUCAUGAGGUCAGGAGAUCAAGACCAUCCUGGCUAACAGUGAAACCCUGUCUCUACUAAAAAUCCAAAAAUAAUUAGGUGGGCAUGGUGGCAUGUGCCUGUAAUCCCAGCUACUCAGGAGGCUGAGGCAGGAGAAUCCUUUGAACCCGGGAGGCAGAGAUUGCAGUGAGCCGAGAUUGCGCCACUGCACUACACUCCAGCCUGGGCGACAGAGGGAGACUCCGUCAAAAAAAAAAAAAAAGAAAAAAGAAAAAUAAAUAAAUUAAAAAAAGGACAACUGGUAUCCCAGUUCUACUGGUAACUUUGGAGAACUUAUUUAACAUCUCUGUACUACUGUUUCAUCAGUAAAUGGUGGGUAAUAAGAGUAGUAAGCUAAACUAUAUCAGGUGCUUACAACAAUUCAUGGUACAUAGUAGGUGCUUAAUAUAAGUGAGCUUCUACUAUUAUAGUAACGGCCGCAAUAGUUCUGUCACUAACUCUGUGAUCCUCUGUAAAUUACUUGGCUUAUGUAAGCUUUAGUUAUCUCAAUUGACAAAUGAAAGAAAAUAAUUGUACCUACCUCCUGAGGCUCUUGUGCUGACUAAGGCAGAGAAUAAAUGAAGAUCACUUGGCUUGGCAUAUAAAUGCUUGGAAAAAUGUUAGCUCUUUUUUUUUCUAAAAUGACUCUUUUAAACUAAAGAUCCUUCAAAAUUCAAUGGCAGUUAUAGAUCAUUCAUCUUCUGUACUUGAUGUUGUUCAUAGUGCCUGGGACAUAGCAGUACUCAAUAAAUCUUUGAUGAAAGCAUACAGAAAUAAAUAACGUUAGAGACAUAAAAGCCCAUAAGUAGCUGAGGUGUGCACGCAACGGUGAAGUAAGUAAAGGUCAUUUCGUUUUGUGUGUGUGUGUGUGUGUGUGCGCACGCAUGUGUGUGUAAGGAGGGAGGGGGGAGAGAGAGGGAGGGAGAGAGAGGGAUAACAUAUAAGAAAGUAAAUGAAAAGCUUCAUUGAAUUCUAGUGAAUUUUGUGCUUCCCUUGCUUAUGUUUAAUAAAGAUCACACAGAAGGAAGCUUCAAAAAGACAAUGCAGAUUUUCACAAGUGGAAAAGGAUAUUCGCAGUUCUAUGGCUAUCGAUUUCUCUGACAAAUCACUCAAGUCCAGUGGAGUUAUUCAAAUAGAUAUCAGAAUAGAUUAUUACUUCAUUGGAAAAAUUUAAAGCCAAAGAACACAGAACAUUGGAGUUAUAUUUUUUGAUCCUCUCCUUGAUCAUGUUCUUAGCUGAGCUUACCCUUUUAUUCUCUUUCCACGUCUUUCUCAAAAGUUAGAGAAAAAAAAAACAGGUCAAUCAAUAUUUACUUUGAAGAUGAAAAGCUCUAGCUUUCUUAGAGUACAUAUUUUAAGCUGAUGCCACUGAAAUGAGAAUACCUGAGCCCUCCACACCACAUUCAGAAAGCUUUUAUCUGUAUUUACUACCAGUUAAAUCGUUUUCAAUAAUUGACGAUAAGAAAUAAUCAGCUCAGUUGUUGGGAGAUCAGGCUUUAGUGUUUUUGUCAUCACAAUGUCAAAAUUGUUGGACUAGUUAAAAAAAUCAUCAUCUUUUAGAAUUUUGCUUGUCCUUAUUAAACAACUAGUUGGAUUAAACCAUCCACUUAAUAAAAAACUAGUUAGGAGUGUGAACUUUUGGGUCACAUAGCAUGGCUUUGAAUUCCGAUUAUACUGUCUCUCAUUGGUGAGAUUUUGUAAUUUACUUAAAUUUUCUGAGCCUCGGCUCCCUCAUCUAUAGAAUGGAGAUAAUAAUAUCUGUCUCAUAUUGUUGUUGUAGAAAUUAAAUGAAGUAAUGCAUGUAGAGUGCUUGGCAGCAUUGGCGUAUUGCAAGUGCUCAAUAAAUAAUAAUUAUCACCAUCAUUAUGGAGCUGAUUGGGCAUCAGAGAGCUGGAGCCACUGAUGAAGUCACUUCUGUAAGGGGAAAAGUCAGAGUGCACGUUUUUUCCAAGGUUGCUAUUUUGCAAACUUUAAUAUUAAUGCACUCAAUUCAAGAAGAGCUUCAGAAAAAUUGGAUAGCUGCAGAGGAAAAUUACCUAAUCAACAAUGCAAUUUGAAAGGUUGCUUCAAAUUACACCAAAUGCUAAAACUGAAUGGUUAGGGAAUAAGAAUAUGAAUAUGUCAUGCUCUGGAUUAUUUUAUCUUCUCAUUUGCACCCCACAUACACUUUCUUAAAAAAUAUUGGUGACUAGAAGUUCUUUUCGUGAUAUGGGAAAGAAUGUUUUGUAUGUAAACUAUCUCUUUGAAACUGAUUACGACAACUUUUGCAGAGAGAUUCCAGCAUGUCAGAAGUUUCUAAACAGUUAAACACAAAGAAAUACAAGUUCAGGGUAAAAUAUUUUAAUAUAAUCGCUUCUACCACCAGGUGAAGAUGUGUGGGUAUUUGAUUUAGGGGGAAAACUGAUGAUAUUUCUGAGCCAUUCUAAUGAAACUCAUAUGAGUAAAAAUAUUUGAGGGCUUACUAUUUUAUAGACCUCGUAUUUAUGGCUGUCAAAAUAUUUCUGAAAGAGAUUAAGAGCCUAUUCAUUUCUCUACUUGAUGAAAGUUAUUUAUUUUACUUUAUUUAUUUUACUUUACUACACAUUUUCAGGAUAAUCCACCAGCAGUUUUCAUAUAGAGAAUGAUUAUUGAAAGUGAUCAGUUCUAACUCUGACUUUUGCAGGAAUUAGUCAAGUGUAAGGCUGAUUUUUCUGCUUAGGCACUACUGGCAGACAGAUUAGGGUUUUAGAAACUUUGUAGGAAUUGUGUUUGAGACCUGAAAAAAAAAUUGUUUAAACUGGCUCAAAGAUACAAGAAAAACACACAAAAAAGGAUGAAUAUUAAAUCAAAUACUCAUAAAACAUAUUUUGUCAAUUUUAAUGAUUCUUUAAUAUAUUAGUCAUAAGAAUUGUAUUCAAUUUAAAAUCUUUUUUAGAUUUUCUUUCCUUGUAAGCAUUUCUAAGUAUUUGGGAUGAUUGCUUGUAUAAAUGAAGUAUAAUAUAUUACUUAGAGUCAAAUAAUUUAACAAAUAAAAUUUAUAAAAUGUUUUAGGAUGUUAUUACAGCCAAAAUUAUUUUUAAUGAGGGAUUUGAGAUGCAUUUUCCUAUGAUUGAUAUGAUGAAAGGGGGAAAACUGUAGAUGUAAGAGUGAUUGUGGUCAUCUCAAAAGAUCCCUGGGCUGGUUUUUAUGUUUAGCUGGAUAUUUCUCUCUACAUGACCAAUAUGGUAGUGGUUGAGCACCAUGGUGGGAUUAAGGGCUAAAAGCAAAGACACCAAGCUCUAUUUGUGCCUGUCCCAUCAUUAAGUCAACAGAAAAUAAGCAAGGUAGUUGCUUUUCAGUCAAUAAUGUCAGCUGGGUACUGUACUGCUAUAAUGGCCUGUCAGCUCUGAUCCACUUACAUAGAAAAAUAGUAGAGGUGAGGGGGAAAUGCCGUUUUAGUCAUUGUCCUGAGAAUCGACAUGCUGUUUCUCUGUAACCAAACCAGAAAAAACUGAAGCAUAAGUGCUGAUUUCUUGAAUAGCCAGUGGAGCUCAAUUAUUAAAAGAAACACAAAAUCUCCAAUGUAAUAACCAGUUUUAAUUUUAGAGGGUAUAAUAGUUGCCUAGAAUCAAGCCAACGCUUCAGAUUGGGGAGUGAAGAUUUUAGAACCCACCAAUGUACUAAACUUGCACACGGCAAUGAAUUUAAUUAAUUGAUUAAUUUUGUAAUAACGAAGAAAGCAAAUCAAGUGCACUGAGUCCAUAUUUUCUGAUUCUAACAUAAGACAAGUAAGAGUCAGCUCCUUUAUUCCUAAUACUAGGUAAAAAAUUCAUUCUUGGUCUCUGCUUUAGCUUCUUUUGCUCGUUUUUUUCAAUAAAUAUUUGUUGAGCCUUUUUUAAGUUGCUGGCACAAUGCUUGGCAUAUAGCAGUGAGUCAGUUAGUUAAGCUUCCUUGUCUUAUUUAGCUUAUGUAGAACACAGCACUGGUCAUUCACACUGUGAUGGGCACAAGUAAAUGAGCCGCCAGGGUGUAAGAUAAUAAGUUGUUUGGGUUCACGAUGGGUGAUCCAGGAUGCCCCUGCAGAGGAAGUGACUCAUAAGCCAAUAACUGAGGGAUGAGAAUAAGCCAGUCAGUUGAAGAGAUGAGGAAGAGCAUUCCAGGGAGGGGAACAGCAGGUGCAAAGAUUGAGAGGUAGGAAAGAGCAGCUCUGUCUUUGGUGAACGGCACAGUAAGGAAAGCGUCAGGAAGAGUAGGGAAACAAACAAAAAAACACAAUUCUCUAUUUAUUUUGCAAAUACUUUUUAGGAGGCAUUUUACUAAGCACUUUUAGGGAUAGAAAGAAGAUUAAGAUGUAAUCCUUGCCCUCAACAACAGAAAAAGAUUAUUAUUUCGUUAGUAUAGAUUAAUUCUAUAAAUCAAUGGAUAUACUGUAGCUUUAUAUAUGUGGAUAAUAUAUCUCUUUUUUUUUUUUUUUUUUUUUUUUUUUUUUGAGACAGAGUCUCACCCUGUCACCUAGGCUGGAAUGCAGUGGUAGGAUCUCAGCUCAUGCAACCUCUGCCUCCUGGGUUCAUGCGAUUCUCCUGCCUCAGCUUCCCGAGUAGCUGGGAUUACAGGCAUGAGCAACAAGGCCUGGCUAAUUAUUGUAUUUUUGUAUUAGAGAUGGGGUUUCGCCAUGUUGGCCAGGCUAGUCUGGAACUUUUGACCUCAGGUGAUCCACCCAUCUCGGCUUCCCAAAGUGCUAGGAUUACAGGCAUGAACCACUGCACCUGGCCAUAUAUCUCAAAUUAAAUUUGUCUAAUAAACAGAAAAAAAAUAGUUUUUAAGACAGAAAUGAUUGGAUUUUUUAAGAUACAGUUUUUUAAAGAUAAGAUAUAGCCAUAUGAAGAAGCUGAGCAGUUGCCCCAAAAUCCGUAAUUCUUUUUGAUCUCAUGGUCUUAAAAAUCUCAGAUUUCCACUGUUACGUGACCUCUGGAAGGGGGCUUUUACCUUUCUGUGCUUCAAAUACAUCAUCUGAAAAAUGAAGGUUUUGUGUGGAACCUAGCUGUUGAUUCAAAUUGAUUCGGGAACUGAAUGAUGUGUCCACAUAACUGUUGCCAAAUAAUUACCAAAAAAAAAAAAAAAGGACACAGUUUCCAAAUGUAUUCUGUUUCUUCUUGCUGACAUUUUCUUGGGGAAAAUGGAAAGAUUAGAAUAGACGAAUAGACAUACAGUAAUAAAAAUUUGUUGAUCUACUACUUUGUCCAGCUACUGGGGCAAGCACUUUAUACGGUUUACUAGAGAUUUCUUCUAGUGCUAUCUUUUUGAAGAAAAACCUAAGUGGGAUACUUGUAGUCUGGAAUUGUUGAUAAGGGGAGCUCUGAGGGCUUUAAAACACAAAAGCUAUUUAGCCAGAGGGUAAAAAGGAGAAAUCAAGCAAGGCAAGAUACUAACAUUUAUUGAGUGUGUACUUUGUGCUGAUUCAACACUAUAUUCUUUGUUUUUGUUUUUGAGAUAAUGUCUUGCUCUGUCCCUCAGGCUGGAGUGAAGUGGUAGGAUCUCGGCUCAUUGCAACCUCUGCCUCCCGGGUUCAAGCGAUUCUUGUGCCUCAGCCUCCCACAUAGCUGGGACUACAGGUGCACACCACCAUGCCCAGCUAAUUUUUGUAUUUUUUGUAGAAAUGGCGUUUUGCCAUGUUGCCCAGGCUGGUCUUGAGCUCCUGGGCUCAAGUGAUCUGCCUGCCUCAGCCUCCCAAAUUGCUGGGAUUAACAGGUGUGAGCCAUUAUGCCUGACCCAAUACUGUAUUCUUUACUUACAUCUCAUUCAAUUUUCCCGACAAGCUUUAAGAGGAAAGUGUGAUCAUUGCCUUUCACAGAUGAAGAUAUCAGUUCUGAUGAAGAAAGCAAAACAUAAGGAGGUUAAGGAACUCGUCCUUAGGCAGAUACCUGGUAAGUAGCACAGGUGACAUUGAAACUCCCAUUUCUUAGAAUCACAAAUGUGGGCUAUUUCCAUGAAGAGAAACCAAGUUUUAGAUGGGAAGAUAGAUGAUUUCUAGAUGUUUUUGUAAUUCCUACUAUUUUUGGCUUUACUCUUUGGCCAUAUUUUAAUUUUUUUAUCCCUACAUCCACAUUUUUCACAUAUACAAAACAUUAUUGGUGUGUUUGCUUCUUUUGAAGUUAAAAAUCCUUUUUAUUUUUUCUUUUAUUUUUAUUUGUUAUUAUUUAUUUAUUUAUUUAUUUGAGAUGGAGUCUCACUCUGUCACCCAGGCUGUAGUGCAGUGGCACAAUCUCGACUCACUGCAACCUCCACCUUCUGGGUUCAAGCAAUUCUCCCUGCCUCAGCCUCCCAAGUAGCUGGGAUUACAGGUGUGUGCCACCAUGCCUGUUUCAUUUUUGUUUUUUUUUUUUUAGUAGAGAUGGAGUUUCACCAUGUUGGCCAGUCUGGUCUUGAAUUCCUGACCUCAGGUGAUCCACCUGCCUCAGCCUCCCAAAGUACUGGAAUUACAGGCAUGAGCCACUGCACUUGGCCUCUUUUAUUUUUAAUUAACAAAUAAUAACUGUGUGUGUUUAUGGGGUAUAAUGUGAUGAUUUGAUCUAGGUAUACAUUAUAAAAAGGUUCAAUCAAGUUAAUUAACAUAUCCAUCAACUCACCAACUUAUCACUUUGUGGUGAAGAGAAUGUUAAAAAUCUAUUUUUUUAGCAAUUUUGAAAUACACAAUACAUUAUUUUAAGCUGCGCAGUGCAAUAGAUCACUAAAACAUAUUCCUCCUGUCUAGCUGAAACUUUGUGCUCUUUGAUCAACAUCUUCCCUUUUCCCCUUCCUUGCUUUUUCCAGCAGACUCUGAUAACUAACGUUCUACUCUCUGUUUUUAACUGAGAUCAUACCUUGUUUGCCUUUCUGUGUACUGGCGUAUAUUUCCAAAUUUCCUUUACUUUUUUCUUAGAUCAUUUUAAUAUAUCCGUCUUUUCCUCCGGUUUUCCCUUUGCUGUUUAUGACCAAAGGCUGAUUGAUGAAAGGUUAACAAUUCUCUAAUUAACAUAUUAAAUAGACUUUUAUCCCUCCUGCCAAUGUUGAAGCAACUGAUUAUCAGCCCUGUUUGGGAGCAGAGAAAGUUGACCUCAGAUAGACCAAUAGAGCCCGUCAAAGAGAAAAACGAAGAAGUGGGGUCUCCCAACUCCCUCAGUUCCAGGCCAAUCUGUUAUAAUUGCUUAAGAACAAGGACUCAAAUACUUGGAGUCUUCACUGAUGCAGAGCUUCAGAAAUAAUGAUUACAGCAAAUCAGGGCUCAUGAAUAUGCAGCUUAUUUCUGCUUUGAGACACUUGAGUUAUCUAAAUUAAAAAUACAAAAUUAUGGAUUGCAAAGAAAGCAGCAGGAACUUUUUUAUUUUAACAAUUGGAAAAUAUCACUGGAAAUGAAGUCUUCCUGCCAACAUGAAGCACAUAAUAAUCAUGCCAGGAAAAGGAUGUUUUUCUAAAUGCUUGUUUUAAAUAGAUUUUCCCCCAAAAAUUCUGUUUAAAGAUAGACUACGGAAGCUCUAAUUCAUGUGAUUUUUCUCUUUGUGGAUUUCAGUUUCAGGGUUAUUCAUUUUGGGACAGAGUCUAACACCAUCUCAUUCACAAGAUGUUCCUUAGAGUCAGCUUCUACCUUCAGAAAUCCUGAAAUAAAGAGGCUUGAUUUUGGUGUUUUUUCCUUUUCUGUUGUUUUCAGAGUCUCUUCCAUGUUCUUAAGAUUGGUCUGUCAAAGACCUUCCAUUCUACUAGGCUUAAACUUCCAGACCCUACCUUCAUGUUUUAGACCUUAUCUCUCCCCACUUUUGGUUUAUCAAGAUGAUUUAUUUGGUACUCUGUUUAUUCAGAAUCUUUUGAAGCAAUAUGGUUAAUAAACAAGUGUGUGUAUGUGUGUGUGUUAAUAUUUAUACUUUUUCAGGUUACUAUUUUCUUUUUACAAGUUAAAUUUGCAAACCCCAUUUUUGAAUGUCUGAGCUUGCAACACCAGGUGGCUACCACAUGGAUAGAAUUGCCUGGAUCACAUGGCAACUAUCAGAGGUAGGAACACAUGACUGUAAUAAAUCUUUUAAAAGGAGGUGUGUGUGUGUGUUUGAGGAAAUAAUUAAACCAAAGCAUAGUGUUUAGAAAUACAGAGGAUGGUUGGAAAAUAUAUAUCAGUUGUUUUUCCAUUCCUCUUUUCAGUGACUAUGGCUGAGAUUUCUGUGACACCCUUUUCCACUAUCUCAGAAUAAUUAUUAACAUAAGACCUGAGCAGCAUCUAUCGGUUAAUAAUGAAUGGCAAUGGGGACAAAAUCAUAUAUUCUUCUUCAUAUAGAGCAAGCUUAAAACAACAACAACACUGGAAUAAAACAAGGAUGCUUACUUUCGCCACUCUUACUCAACAUAGGACUGGAAGUCCUAGCCAGAUCAAUCAGGCAAGAGGAAGAAAUAAAAGGCAUACAAACUGGAAAAAAGGAAGUCCAAUUGUUCCUCUUUUCAGAUGACAUGAUCUUAAUAUACAGAAAAACCUAAAGAUUUCUACCAGCUGGGCAUGGUGGCUCACGGCUGUAAUCCCAGCACUUUGGGAGGCCGAGGCGGGUAGAUCACAAGGUCAGGCGUUCGAGACCAGCCUGGCCAACAUAGUGAAACCCCGUCUCUACUAAAAAUACAAAACUUAGGUGGGCAUGGUGGUGCACACCCAUAGUUCCACCUACUCAGGAGGCUGAGGCAGGAGAAUCACUUGGACCUGGGAGGCGGAGGUUAUGGUGAGAUGAGAUGGUGCCACUGCACUCCAGCCUGGGCAACAGAGUGAGACUCUAUCUCGAAACAAACAAACAAACAAACAAACAAAAAAAAAAAGAAAGAAAAGAUUUCUACCAAAGACUUCACCAAAAAUCUCUUAGAACUGAUAAACAAAUUCAGUAAAGUCGUAGCAUAUAAAAUCAACAUAAAAAACAUCAGUAGCUUCCUCAGGAGAAAUCAGUUGGGAUGGGAGUAAUUAGUAGCAUUUUUUUCUUCUUUUUAAAGAAAUAAUUUCAAUUUUUAUUUUAGAUUCAGUGGGGGUACAUAUGCAGGUUUGCUAUAUGGGCAUAUUGUGUGAUGCUGAGGUUUGGGGUAUGAAUGAUCUUGUUACCUAGGUAGUGAGCAUAGUACCCAAAGGGUACUUUUUUAACCCUUGCUGCUUGCCCCUUGUCUACCCUCUAGUAGUCCCCAUUGUCUAUAGUUCCCACCUUUACAUCUAUAAGGGCCCAGUGUUUAACUCCCGCUUAUAAGUGAGAACAUGUGGCAUUUGAUUUUCUGUUCUGCAUUAAUUUACUUAGAAUGAUGUCCUUCAGCUCCAUCAGUGUUGCUGCAAAAGUCAUAAUUUUAUUCUUUAUUACAGCUGCACGCUAUUCCAUAGUGUAUAUGUACCACAUUUUCUUUAUUGAAUCCACUAUUUAUGGGCACCUAGGCUGAUUUCAUGUGUUUUCUAUUGCAAAUGCUGCUGCGCUGUACAUACGUGUGCAUGUUCUUUUUGGUAGAAUGAUUUAUUUUUCCUUUGCCUGUAUACCUAGUAAUGGGAUUGCUGGGUUGAGUGGUAGCUCUGUUUUUAGUUCUUUGAGAGAUUUCCAAACUGCUUUCCACAGUGCUGAACUAACUUAUAUUCCCACCAACAUUUCAGUGUUCCCUUUUCUCUGUAGUCUUCUCAGGAUCUGUUAUUUUUUGUCUUUUUAAUAAUAGUCAUUCUGACUGGUGUGAGAUGGUAUGGCAUUGUGGUUUUAAUUUGUAUUUCUCUGAUUAUUAGUAAUGUUGAGUAUUUUUUCAUAUGUAAUUGACUGUAUGUCUUCUUUUGACAGGCAUCUGUUCAUAUAUUUUGCCCAUUUUUAAUGGGGUUAUUUGGUUUUUGUUCGUUCAGUUGUUUAAGUUCCUUAAGGUUCUGGAUAUUAGACCUUUGUCAGAUGCAUAGUUUGCAAGUAUUUUCUUUCAUUCUGUAGGUUGUCUGUUUACUCUGUUGAUAGUUUCUUUUGCUGUACAAAACCCUUUUUUUUUAUUUCAAUAGGUUUUUGGGGAACAGGUGGUGUUUGGUUACAUGGAUAAGUUCCUUAGUGGUGAUUUCUGAGAUUUUGGUGCACUCAUCAGCUGAGCAGUGUUCACUGCACCCACUGUGUAAUCUUUUAUCCUCCACCCUCCUCCCACCCCUUCCCCCUAGUUCCCAAAGUCCAUUGUAUGAUUCUUAUGCCUUUGUGUCUUCAUAGCUUAGCUCCCACUUAAAAGUGAGAAAUACGAUGUUUCGUUUUCCAUUCCUGGGUUACUUAACUUAGAAUAAUGGUCUGCAACUCCGUCCAGGUUGCUGCAAAUGCCAUUAUUUUGUUUCUUUUUAUGGCUAAGUAGUAUUCCAUGGUGUGUGUGUGUGUGUGUGUGUGUGUGUGUGUGUGUAUCACGUUUUCUUUAUCCACUCAUGAUGGAUGGGCAUUUGGGCUGGUUCCAUAUUUUGCCAGUGUGAAUUGUGCUGCUAUGAACAUGUGGGUGCAAGUGUCUUUUUCAUAUUGUGACUUAUUUUCCUUUGGGUAGAUCCACAGUAAUGGGAUUGCUACAUCAUAUGGUAGAUCUACUUUUAGUUUUUUAAGGAAUCUCCAUACUGUUUUCCAUAGUAGUUGCACUAGUUUGCAUUCCCACCAACAGUGUAAAAGUAUUCCCUUUUCACCACACCCACACCAACAUCUAUUAUUUUUUAUUGUUAAAUUAUGGCUAUUCUUGCAGGAGUAAGGUGGUAUCACGUUGUGGUUUUGAUUUGCAUUUCCCUGAUAAUUAGUGACGUUGAGCAUUUUUCAUAUGUUUGUUGGCCAUUUAUAUAUCUUUUGAGAAUUGUGUAUUCAUGUCCUUAGCUCACUUUUUAAUAGGAUUAUUUGUUUUUUUCUCGCUGAUUUAUUUGAGUUCCUCAUAGAUUCUGGAUAUUAGUUCUUUGUUGGAUGCAUAGUUUGCAAAAUUUUUUCCCACUGUGUGGGUUGUCUGUUAACUCUGCUGAUUAUUUCUUUUGCAGUGCAGAAGCUUUUUAGUAUAAUUAAGUCCCAUCUAUUUAUCUUUGUCUUGGUUGCAUUUGCUUUUGGGUUCUUGGUCAUGAAGUCUUUGCCUAAGCCAAUGUCUAGAAGGGUUUUUCUGAUGUUAUCUUCCAGAUUUUUUAUGGUUUCAGGUCUUAGAUGUAAGUCUUUGAUCCAUCUUGAGUUGAUUUUUGUAUAAGGUAAGAGAUGAAGAUCCAGUUUCAUUCUUCUACAUGUGGCUUGCCAAUUAUCCCAGGACCAUUUGUUGAAUAGGGUGUUCUUUUCCCAUUUUAUGUUUUUGUUUGCUUUGUUGAAAAUCAGUUGGCUGUAAGUGUUUGGCUUUUUUUCUGGGUUCUCUAUUCUGUUCCAUUGGUGUAUGUGCCUAUUUUUAUACCAAUACCAUGCUGUUUUAGUGACUAUAGCCUUAUACUAUAGUUUGAAGUCAGGUAAUGUGAUGCCUCCAGAUUUGUUCUUUUUGCUUAGUCUUGCUUUGGCUAUGCAGGGUCUUUUUUGGUUUCAUAUGAAUUUUAGGAUUUUUUUUCUAGUUCUGAGAAAAAUGAUGAUGGUAUUUUGAUGGGAAUUGCAUUAAAUUUGUGGAUCACUCUUGGUAGUAUGGCCGUUUUGACAAUAUUGAUUCUAGCUACCCAUGAGCAUGGGAUGUGUUUCCAUUUGUUUGUGUUGCCUAUGAGCUAUUUCAGCAGUGUUUUGCAGUUUUUCUUGCAGAAGUCUUUCACCUGCUUGCAUAAGUAUAUUCCUAAGUAUUUUAUUUUCAAAAACUCUAUUGUUUAAUUAGGUCCCACUUGGCAAUUUUUCUUUUUGCUGCAAUUGCUUUUCAGGACUUAGUAAUAAAUUAUUUGCUGAGGCCAAUGUCUAGAAUGGCAUUUCCUAGAUUUUAUUCUGGAAUUUUUAUAGUUUGAGGUCUUACAUUUAAAUCUUUAAUCUAAUCCGUCUUGAAUUAAUUUUUGUAUCCAGUGAAAGGUAGGGGUUUAGUUUCAUUCUUCUGCAUAUAGAUAUUCAGUUUUUCCUUUUAUUAAAUAGGAAGUCCUUUCUCAAUUCCUUAUUUUUGUCAACUUUGUCAAAGAUUAGAUGGCUGCAGGUGUGCAGCUUUAUUUCUGGGUUCUCUGUACUUUUCUGUUGAUCUAUGUGUCUGUUUCUGUACAAGUAUCAUGCUGUUUUUGUUACUGUAGCCUUGUAGUAUAGUUUUAAAAUUGGGUAAUGUGAUGCCUCCAGCUUUGUGUAUGUGUGUAUGUGUGUGUGUGUGUGUUUGUGUGUGUGUGUGUUUUGUUUAGGAUUGCUUUGGCUAUUCAGGCCCAUUUUUGGUUCCAUAUGAAUUUUACAAGACUUUUUUCUUUUUUUUUUUUUCCUAACCUGUUCCCCCACACCAAACAAAGGUGUCCCUAUUUCUAGUCCCUCAUGGCAGCUCUCUCAUUCUCUGCCUUGAUCUCCCCUAUGUCAUCUCUUUCCUGAAACUUCCUCUUUAAAAUCCUUCACACGGGGGUUCCACCCCAACCUCUCCUUGGGAAAAGGAAAAUAUCUUAGGAAGAUCUCUUCUUGGCAUAGAGUGUUGUAGGGAAGUGGGUUGGGAGAUGAUGGGUUCUACCUGAAUUUACCUUACAUUAAAUUAUAAUUUCACAAUUGUGAAAUAUUUAAUUUUUUUCUAGAAGACUUUUUUCUAAUUCUGUUAAAAAUGAUGUUGGCAGUUUGAUAGGAAUAGCACUGAAUCUAUAGAUUUCUUUGGGCAGGAUGGCCAUUUUUACAAUAUUAAUUCUUCUAAUCCAUGAGCCUGGAAUAUUUUUCGAUUUGAUUGGGUCAUGUCUGAUUUCUUUUAGCAGUGCUUUGUAGUUCUCCUUGUAGAGAUCUUUCAUUUCUUUGAUUAGAUGUAUUUUCUAGGUACUUUUUUCAUGUGUGUCUGUGGCUAUUGUAAAUGGGAUUGUGUUCUUGAUUUGGCUUUCACCUUCAAUGUUAUUGGUAUAUAGAAAUGAUCGGUAGCAUGUCUGCACACUGGUAAUGAAUUAGCUGAAAAAGAAACCAAGAAAGCAAUCCCAUUGACAAUUGCUACCAAAACAAACAAACAAAUAAAACAAAAGAAAACAAAAUAAACCUAGGAAUAAAUUUAACUAAGAAGGUGAAAUAACUCUACAAGAAAAACUGUAUAAAACACUGGUGAAAGAAAUUGAGGAGGACACAAAUGGAAGAAUCUCCCAUGCUUUUGGAUCAGAAUUAAUAUAGUUAAGAUGACCACACUACCCAAUACCAUCUAUAGAUUCAAUGCAAUUCCUAUCAAAGUACCAAUGCUGUUUUUAAAAUACAAAAAUAGAAAAAAAAAUCCUUCAAUUUAUAUGAAAUCACGGAAAAAAAACGAAUAGCCAAAACAAUACUGAGUAAUUUACAUUUCUCUAAUGACCAGUGAUGAUGAGGCCUUUUUCAUACGUUUAUUGGCCUUAAUGUCUUCUUUUGUCUGCUCAUAUUUUUUGCCCAGUUUUUGAUGGGGUUGUUGUUUUUUUUUCUUGUAAAUUUGUUUAAGUUCUUUGUAGAUUCUGGAUAUUAGCCCUUUGUCAGAUAAAUAGAUUGCAAAAAUUUUCUCCCAUUCUGUAGGUUGUCUGUUCACUCUGAUGAUAAUUUCCUUUGCUGUGCAGAAGUCCUUUAGUUUAAUUAGAUCCCAUUUGUCAAUUUCGGCUUUUGUUGGCAUUGCUUUUGGUGUUUUAGUCAUGAAGUCUUUACCCAUGCCUGUGUCCUGAAUGGUAUUGCCUAGGUUUUCUUCUAGGGUUUUUAUGGUUUUAGGUCUUAUGUUAAGUCUUUAAUCCAUCUUGAGUUAAUUUUUGUAUAAGAUGUAAGGAAGGGGUCCAGUUUCAGUUUUCUGCAUAUGGCUAGCCAGUUUUCCCAACACCAUUUAUUAAAUAGGGAAUCUUUUCCCCAUUGCUUGUUUUUGUCAGGUUUGUCAAAGGAAUGAGAUACCAUCUCACGCCAGUUAGAAUGGCGAUCAUUAAAAAGUUAGGAAACAACAGAUGCUGGAGAAGAUGUGGAGAAAUAGGAAUGCUUUUACACUGUGGGUCGGAGUGUAAAUUAGUUCAACCAUUGUGAAAGACAUUGUGGCGAUUCCUCGAGGAUCUAGAACUAGAAGUACUAUUUGACCCAGCAAUCCCAUUACUGGGUAUUUACCCAAAGGGUUAUAAAUCAUUCUGCUAUAAAGACACAUGCACAUGUAUGUUUAUUGCAGCACUGUUCACAAUAGCAAAGUCUUGGAACCAACCCAAAUGUCCACCAACGAUAGAGUGGCUAAAGAAAAUGUGGCACAUAUGCACCAUGGAAUACUAUGCAGCCAUACAAAAGGAUGAGUUCAUGUCCUUUGCAGGGACAUGGAUGAAGCUGGAAACCAUCAUUUUCAGCAAACUAACACAGGAACAGAAAAUCAAACAUUGCAUGUUCUCACUUAUAAGUGGGAGUUGAACAAUGAGAACAUGUGGACACAGGGAGGGGAACAUCACACACUGGGGAGUGUUGGGGGAUGGGGGGCUAGGGAGGAAUUGCUUUCGGAGAAAUAUCUAAUGUAAAUGACAAGUUGAUGGGUGCAGUAAACCACCAUGGCACGUGUAUACCUGUGUAGCAAACCUGCAUGUUUUGCACAUGUGUCCCAGAACUUAAAGUACAAUUAAAAAAAAUUUAAUACAGAUGAGAUCAGGAGCAUAUGUGUAUAAUUACAUAAGCCAUGUAUGUUUUAUAUGAGCAUAGAAAGAAAUGUAAAAAUAAAUGCACAAAAUUGACUUUUUUAUAUACUCUUCUGUUACUUGGCUUUGAAAAAAUAAUGUUCUUAUUUUUGAAUUUUAAAAGAAAACUGCAAUAAAAUGUGAAUAUGUUAAAAAAAAAAGCACCAAAAAAAUACUGAGUAAAAAGAACAAAGCUGAAGGCAUCAUCCUAUCUGACUUCAAAAUAUACUACAAAGGUAUCAUAACCAAAACAGCAUGGUAUUGAUAUAAAAACAGACACAUAGACCAAUGGAACAAAAACAGAGAACCCACAAAUAGAUCCACAUAUUUACAGCCAAAUGAGUUUCAGCAAAGGCACCAAGGGCAUACUACAGGAAAAGGACGCUCUCUUCAAUAAGUAGUGCCAGGAAAACUGGAUAUCCAUUUGCAGAAGAAUAAAACUAGACUUCCUAUUAGAGUUUGGAGGAUAUGUGGAGGGAGAGGAUCAGGAAAAAAUAACUAAUAGGUACUAGGUUUAAUACCUAGGUGAUGAAAUAAUCUAUACAACAAACUCCCAUGAAACAUGCUCACUUAAGUAACAAACCUGCACAUGUACCCCUGAAUUUAAAGUAAAAGUAUAAAAUACUUUUAUAUUAUAUAUAUUAAAAAGUAUAUAUAAAGUAUAUAUAGUAUAUAUGUAAAAAUAUGUACAGUAUACAUAGAGUAUCUAUAAAAAAAGAAACUAGACUUCUAUAUCUCAUGAUAUUAAAAAAAUCCUCAAAAUGUAUGAAAGAAUUAAACAUAAAACCUAAAUUGAUAAAAUUACUAGAAGAAAACAGGAAAAUACUCCAGAACGUUGGUCUAGGUAAAGAUUUUGAGGCAAGCCCUCAAAAGCACAGACAGCAAAACAAGAAAUAGACAAACGGGACUAUAUUAAAUUAAAAAGCUUCUACAUAGCAAAGGAAUCAAUCAACAGAGUAAAGAGACAACUUACAAAAUGAGACAAAAUACUUGCAAAAUAUUUAUCAACAAAAGAAUCAUAUCCAGAAUGUAUGAGGAACUCAAACAACUAAACAGCAAAAAUACAGAUAAUCCCAUUAAAAAGUGGGCAAAAAAUCUAAAUAGACAUUUCUCCAAAGAAGACAUAUAAAUGACCAACAGGUAUAUAAAAAAAUUGCUCAACAUCACUAAUUAUCAGAGAAAUGCAAAUCAAAACCACAUGGAGAAACCAUCUUACCCCAGUCAGAUUGGCUAUUACCAAAAAGACAAAAAAUACCAAAUGCUGGCUAAGAUGUGAAGAAAAGGAAAUGCUUACACACUGUUGGUGGGAAUGUAAAUUAGUACAGUCAUUAUGGAAACAGUAUGGUGAUUUCUUAAAAAACUAAAAAUAGAACCACUACAGGAUCUAGCAAUCCCACUGUUGAGUAUUUAUCCAAAGGAGAAGAAGCCAAUAUAUUAAAGGGGUACAUGUAUUCCUAUAUUUAUUGCAGCACUAUUCACAGUAGCCAAGAUAUGGAAUCAACAGUUCCAUCAGCAAUUCAACAGAUAAAGAAAAUGUGGUAUAUAUACAAAAUGUAAUACUAUUUGGCCAUCAAAAGUAAUAAAAUCAUCUCAUUUGCAGCCACAUGGAUGGAACUAGAGGUUAUUAUGCUAAGUGAAAUAAGCCAGGCACAGGAAGACAAAUAUUGCAUGUUCUUACUCAUGUGUGGAAGCUAUAAAAGUGACUCUCAUGGAGUAGAGAAUAGAGUGGUAAUUACCAGAGACUGCAAAGCAUGGUAGAAAGAUACAGAGAGGUUGGUUAAUGGGUAUAAAUAUACAGUUAGAUAGAAGGAAUACAUUCUCAUAUUUAAUAGCUCAGUAGGAUGACUAUAGUUUUAACAAUAAUUUUUUGAAUUUCAAAAUAGCAAGAAAAGAUUUGAAAUGUUCCCAACACAAAUAAAUAAUAAAUGUUGGAGUUGAAGGAUAUCCUAAAUAUCUUGAUGUGAUUAUUAUACAUUUUAUAUAUGUAUCAAAAUAUCACAUGAGUAGCAGAAUUAUUUACACUCAUUAUGUAAUAAUUAGAAAAAAGAAGAGGAUGAGGUAGAGGACACAGACACAUAAGGAGGAAGAAGGCCAUGUGGCCAAGGCUGUAGAAGCCCGCUUCUGGCAUCAGCGAACAUGACCUGGAUGUGAGACAUGGAGUCAAAGAAGAUCAUUUUGGGACUUUAAGGUUUAAUGACUGCCCUAUUGUAUUUUGGACUUUCAUGGGGCCUGUAACCCCUUUGUUUUGGCCAAUUUCUCCCAUUUGGAAUGGGAGCAUUUAGCCAAUGCCUGUACCCCCAUUGUGUCUAGGAAGUAAGUAACUUGCUUUUGAUUUUGCAGGCUCAUAGGCAGAAGAGACUUGCCUUGUCUCAGAUGAGGCUUUGGACUUGGACUUUUGAGUUAAUGCUGGAAUGAGUUAAGACUUUGGGGGAUUGUUGGAAAGGCAUGAUUGUGUUUUGAAAUGUGAGGACAUGUGAUUUGGGAGGGGUCAAGGGUGGAAAGAUAAGGUUUGGCUGUGUCCCCACUCAAACCCCAUCCUGAAUUGUAGUUCCCAUAAUCUCCGCAUGUUGUGGGAGAGACCCAGUGCAAGGUAAUUGAAUCAUGGGGGCCGUUACCCUCAUGCUGUGCUCGUGAUAGUGAGUGAGUUCUCACAAGAUCUGAUGGUUUCAUAAGCAGCUUUUCCCCUUUUUUGCUGGGCACUUCUCCUUGUUGCCACUAUGUGAAGAAGGACAUGUUUGCUUCCCCUUUCACCAUGAUUGUAAGUCUCCUUAAGUCCCCUGAGGCCUCCCCCAGCCAUGCUGAACUGUGAGUCAAUUAAACUGCCUUCCUUUAUAAAUUGCCCAGUCUUGGGUAUGUCUUUAUUAGCAGCAUGAGAAGGGACUAAUACACCAUGUGAAGAUAAAGGCAGAAUUGGAAUUAAGAUGCUGCAAGGAAAACUUGGGGAUUUAAAAGCUGAACAAAUCAUGGAAAUGUUUCUUUCCUAGAGCUUAUGGUCCCUACUGACCUUGGACUUCUAGCCUCCAGAAUUGUGAGAGAAUAAAUUCCUGUUGUUUUAAGUCCCCCUACCCCCACUCCUCAAAAACAAUAAAUCAAGGCUUUGACUGACCUGGCUGGUGACCUGGUGCUGUGCUGUAGGAAGAGACAGAAGAUUCUCAGCUACAGGAGUAGAGCCGAGGUAGGAGUAGGGAGGUAGUAUGAAUAGAGAAAUUUAGUGGACGUGAUUUCAAAGUCAGUAGGUAAGAAUGUUUUACUUCUAUGUGACUCUCAGGACUAUAAAGCAAAUUAUUUCAGAAUGUAUUACUUUAAUGUGAUUCUCAGGAAUAUAAAGGAAAAUAAAAAAUUAAAAAUGUUGGAUGACUGCCAUUUUUCUUCGAGACAGGGUCUCCCUUUGUUGCCCAAGCUGUACUUGAACUCCUGGGCUCAACUGAUACCCCUGCCUCACCCUCCCAAGUAGCUGGGACUAUAGGUACAUGCCACGGUGCCUGGCUCUCCUGUGAUGUUUAAAUGUAAUAUCACUUGAUGCAAUAUAUUUGUAGUUGUAAAUGAAACUUUACUCCUUAAAGUAAGGAGGACACUUGACUCCUUAAAGUUCAUAUAAUUUCCACUGGACACUAUUUUGCUGUUAGCUCAAGUGUUCAUUUGUUUUAACAUAUAUGGAGGAUUAAAGUGUGUCUACAAUUAUGGAGUUCAAACUGAUGUCUAAACUAAUAUAACUGUGAAUACCUUAAAUAACAAACACAGUUAAAUGCAGCACAAUUAGUUAAAUAAAAUUCCAGUGGCUCAAAAGUAUAAUGUUGUUGACAGGUCGUUGUCAUGGGAAUCAGAAUUCCUGACAUGGAUGUUUGACCUGGAGCAGACUACCCAAAGUUUCUUUUUGGUCUCAGCUUCUAUAUGUAAAAUAAAGGUAUUGGACGCAAGAACAAACCAAACCAAACCAAAAAAAAAAGAAAAGAAAAAAGGCAAUGCGUGAAGAGUCAAAUCUCAAAGGAAUGGGGCAUGCAAAGAGGCAAUAGUGAAACCUGAAGUGAAAGGAAUGUCAGCCAGAUGGAUUGGGCAGAUUUGGGAGAGUAGAGGGGCUGAAAUUUAAAAGAUUCCUGAAGCUUUGAACUUUUAUUUCUGCUGAGAACACAUGCACCUCAAUGCCUUUUCCAAAUGCUCUCCAUACCAUCUACCUAUACAAUACAAUUUGGCAUUUGCCAUUUUGAAUGCAUAGGUUGGCACAUGUACCAUGCUCUUUGCAUUCUUCAGUGAGCUUCUGCAAUUGACAAACAGCUACAUUUUGUAACAAAAAGAUAACAGAGGCAAGAACAGGACCAUAGGCUUCUCCUAGAACCCUUGUUUUUUGAAUGAUGCAAUAACCCUGAACCCAAUUUUAUUUCUGUGCCUGUUAGUGACUCCCAAGGAGGUUGGAAUGGCAACAAAGUCCAGACUUUCCAGGCUGAGGGCCAAUUGGUAACUGCCUUCACUGCAUCCUGCUUUCUUGCUACCUAUUGGAGAAACAAUUGAAUUUCAUGAUCAGAUUGGCCAAUGAAUAAGUAGCUAUGGACCAUAUAAUUCUGCCAAAACUGUACACUGACCUAUGGAAAAAGCUGCUUGGAGUCAUAGCGUCAGGGAUAUCAGAUUUAUAACUCUUCACUAAAGUUCUGAUUUAUUUUCUUGGCUAGGUGGGAGGCUAAUGCAUCUGAAACAGAAAAGUUGAAAAACCUUAGUCUCCUAGGCAGGUACUGGAUCCCAACCCUACCUGACAUAUACUAUUACAGAUAGUAAAGAUUGCUACUCUUGCAUUUCCAACAUUAUCUUCCCUUCCCUACCCCCCAGCACUUGCAUAAGAGGGAACAUGAACCCUCAUAGAACUGAGCAGGAGGAUUAGGGCAGAUAAUAAAUCUCGGGCUGAUUUGGUUAGCAGGCAGUCACAGGUUAGCAGGGGAAAACCUAGCCUUUUUCUGGUCUCUUCUCUAUGGACCAGCAAACAGAGUGAAAUGGAAGUGUAGUCUUUUUUGGUGAAAGGUGGUCUAAACUCCUCUACUUGAAAUCAGGCUUACUUCCCAAUGACUAGCCAAAACUGAGGGUUGAGACUGUUAUCUGCAUAAUUUAGGGACCAGGAAGGAAUCUAACUUUACUUAUAAAACAUAGUGGAAUUUUGGGCCUGUGUUGUGAAGACAGUACCUUCAAUUUCUGAUUAUUUGGUCUGGAGAGAAUAGACUAAACUCUUCGUUAGAGUAAAUGUAGGAAUAAAAGAUUAAAGUUGUUUUCAGAGGGAAUGUAUUCCGUCUUUCAUUUCUUACAUGAUGUUUCUUGCUUAAUGCAUUAGUUUCCUUGGGCUGCCAUAGCAAAGUACUGUACACUGAGUGGCUUAUGCAACAGACAUGUAUUGUCUCACAGUUCCGGAGGUUGGAAAUCCACGAUCACAUUUUUGGCAGAGUUGAUUCCCUCUGAGACUUGAGAGGGAGACUCUCGCCUGGCUUCUGGUGGUUUGUUGGCAAUGUUUGCUGUUCCUUGACUUGUAGAAUCAUCACAUUGCUCUCUGCCUGAAUUUUCAUGUAGUAUUCGCUCUCUGUGUCUUGCUGUCUCAAAAUUUCCACUUUUUAUAAGAACAUCAGUCAUACUAGAUUAGAGCCUACCCUAAUGACCUUAUCUUAACUUGAUUACCUCUGUAAGGGCCCUUUCUCCAAAUAAGGUCACAUCCUGCAGUUCAGGGGGUUAAGACUUGAACAUAUGAAUUUUUUAGGAAACAAACGUAUAACACUUAAAUAUAUUGUAUGGAUUCCUGAUAUUCUUACUGAAUAUAUAAUUAUAAAACCAUAAUCCUAUAGUCUAAAUGCCACUGACUUUAUUAAAAGAGUCUAGGUGAAUACGUUUUUAAAAUAUAUUUUCCUUUUUCUAACUUGAAACGAGAGAGUCAGAAUUUAUCAAUAUCUAUCCAGCAUUGUGUUGAAACUGGGUUGUAAUGCUUUUUCCUAUCUGGGAAAUAGAACUGGAUGGACAGCUGGCUUCAGAGUUUGCAUGAAGAGUACAUAAUCCUACUUAUGUAACCCAUCGUGUUUGCAAAAUCUGCACUGCAGUUUUUUAGGAGGGAAUGAGAUGUUUGGAAAUAAAAUCUGCUGUGCAGGAGUGGAAAAUUUAUCCACUUUCCACAUUAUUUUUGUUGCCUAUAUUUUUAUUUUGCAUUCUCAAGAAGUAUGUAUCCGUGCUUGAAUGUUUUGCCUUUGCUGCACAUGUCAGGAAUGCAGAAUUGGUGAAUUCUGGUGCAAGAUCUAUUCAUUGACCUUUACAUGAUAGGAAAGUUGUUUAACUCCUUCAGGAUUAUGAUUUCUUAAGUUUAGAGUCAAUUGGCCUCGACUGGGGUUGAAUGGGGAAAGGAGGGCAUGAGGAAUGAAUACUUAUGCAGCCCUUAAAAGUGUGAGGGUCCAUUGUUCACAUGGUAAAUCUGCAAACAAAGUCAGUCAUUAUAUCCAUGUGCUGGACUUUUUUUUUUUUUUUUUUUUUUAAGACAGAUUCUAGCUCUGUUGCCCGGGCUAGAGAGCUGUGGCACAAUCAUAGCUCACUACAACCUUGAACUUCUGGGAUCAAGUGAUCCUCCCACCUCAGCCACCCAAGUAGCUAGGACUACAGGUGUGCACCACCAUGCCCGGCUAAUUUUUAAUUUUUUGUAGAGAGGGGUCUUGCUAUCUUGAACAGGCUGGUCGUAAACUUCUGGCCUCAAGCAGUCUUCCUGCCCUGGCUUCCCAAAGUGUUGAGAUUACAGGCAUGAGUCACUGCGCCUGGCCUGUUUGGUUUUAUUUUUAAUCGGCCCUAUAAUAUUUUCAUCCUGAUUCUGAUUUACAGCACUGUUCCUUUAUCGUUAGUAGGAACUGUCAUUCCUUCAUAACUAGUGAUUCUGUUGGGACUGUAGAUUAUAUUAACUCAGUUUUUGGGCACUGGCCAAUAAUAUUACCCUAUCAGCUGGUAACAAUGAUUGGUCUAAGGGAGGGGACAUGGACAAGUUAGCCAGUCAGAGGCUUUCCCUGGGAUUUUACAUACUAAUAAGGAGGGAUUGGGGGAAAGAAACUUUCUUCCUUCCUUCCUUCCUUCCUUCCUCCCUUCCUUCCUUCCUUCCUUCCUUCCUUCCUUCUCCCUCUCCUCCCUCCCUCCCUCCUUUCUGUCCAUCCUUCCUCCCUCCCUCCCUCCCUCCCUCCCUUCCUUCCUUCCCUCCUUCCUUCCUUUCUUUUCUUUUCUUUCUUUCUGUUUUUAGAUGGAGUCUCACUCUUGUCGCCCAGGCUGGAGUGCAGUGGUGUGAUCUCAGCUCACUGCAACCUCCACCUCCCGGGUUCAAGUGAUUCUCCAGCCUCAGCCUCCCAAGUAGCUGGGACUACAGGCACAUGCCACUGCAUCUAGCUAAUUUCUGUAUUUUCAGUAGAGACGGGAUUUCGCCAUGUUGGCCAAGCUUGUCUUGAACUCCUGACCUAGGGUGAUCUGCCCAAUUCGGCCUCCCAAAGUACUGGAAUUACAGGCGUGAGCCACUGCACCUGGCGAAACUUUCACUUUUCUUUUCUUCUUCUUCUUUUUUUUUUUUUUUGAGACGGAGUUUUGCUCUUAUUGCCCAGGCUGGAGUGCAGUGGUGCGAUCUCGGCUCACUGCAACCUUUGCCUCCUGGGUUCAAGCAAUUCUCCUGUCUUAGCCUCCUGAGUAGCUGGGACUACAGGUGCCCACCACCACACCCGGCUAAUUUUUGUAUUUUUUAGUAGAGAUGGGGUUUCACUAUAUUGAUCAGGCUGGUCCCGAACUCCUGACCUCAAGUGAUCCUCCCGCCUUGGCCUCCGAAAGUGUUGGGAUUAUAGGCGUGAGCCACCACGCCCAGCCUGUUUAUCCUUUAAGACCAGCUGAGAUACCACUAUCUUUGUGAACUCUUCUCUAAUUUGUUUAGUUAACAAUGGGUCUCCACCUGUGUCCUAUAUAGCCCUGUGUCUUAAUGACAUCUAUUCCAUUCUGCCUUCUAUUGUGUGUUCCAGUGUUGUGUAAUAAUUCACCCAAAAUUAAUGGGUUAAGACAAGUACUAUUUUAUUAUCUCAUCAUCUUCUUGGUUAAAGGUUUGAAUAGAACUUAGCUGGGGGCUUGCUCCUCUUCGCCUGUUGUUUGAUGGUCACUCAAUGGUAUUUAGCUGGUCUGAUCUAGAAGGUCCAAGACAGCUUCACUCACCUGCCUUGCUCCUUGGGAGGGUUGCUGUUGCUGGUGUAUCCUCUCUGUCCUUUUGGGUUUUGUUCUCUUUCCUUUUGGGUUCAUGCCUUAAACAAUUUCUAUCCUGUUAUUUUAGCAAGGUUUCUGGAGGGAGCAUGUGUUCAAUCUAGUAUUUUUACCCGGAAGUCCCCAAAACCUAGUUUAUAAAGUACUUUCAUAUUUAGUUUCUAUUUUCUCUUUACAAGAGCCUGGUGAGUAUUACGCCUCCAUCUUUUAAGACAGAAAAGCUGAAACAGACACGUGUUUUGGCAGUCAAGCCUUUUGAUUGCAAGGAAAAAAACUCACUCAAGCCAGUGAACGUAUAUGUGAUAUUCUAAUUUAAAAAAGUAUUCUCAUCAGCCCCCAGGCUCACGCUUGUGGUCUUUGAGGGUUGCUGUGGGUGCACCAUCUAGAUUUUCCUGGUUUUUGGAGUCCAGGUGUUCAUUGGGAUUCUCAGAUAAAAUACAAGAUUCCCAAUUUUAUUUGCAUUUCAGACAUAUAACUAAUAAUUUUUUAGUAAAGAUAUGUUUCAGCUAUUUAAUGGAAUACUGUACUUGUACUAAAAAUCAUUGUUUACCUGAAAUUCAAAUUUAAUUGGGCCUCCAGAAUAUUUAUUUGCCAAAGGUAACCGUAGUCUACUUAGGUCAAUAAAGGGUUCAUGAGUAUGAGGAAUGAUUGAGUUUUAUGAGAAUAGUUAAGAAAACACCCUUUGGCCUUAGCGACGGACUAUUUCUAAACCUGGAAUCAUUCUUCAGCAAAAUCCUAAAGAAAGGGGAAUGUUGUUCCCUGUUUUUUUUUUGUUGUUGUUAAAAAAAAAAACCCUUUUUACCUUUCCCUUUAUGUCUCACCACAUGUAAGCUGAUUUAAUUUUCAAGCUAUCUUUCAGCAACAUGUCAUUGUCAUAUACUCAAAAUAAUAGAUGUCAUUUUUUGAGAUCUUACUUCAUGCCAGGCAUAUUGCUAAAUGCUUUAGAUGUAUUAUCUCAUCUAAUUCUCAUAUGAACAGUAGGUAUCAGUAGCACAAUCUUAUUUUACAGGUGCAUGGGGGGAAGAUGCAGUUGAUAAAGCUUAAAUGAGUUGCCUAAGGCUGGUUACUAAGUGAUUGAGGGGACAGUGGAACAGUAGUGCUCUAGUUUUUUCCUGAAAGCAGAGUUUUGUUGAAAAAGAAAGGCUGUGAAAUUAGUUCAUUGCAUUUUUUUAAUUAUACUUUAAGUUUUAGGGUACAUGUGCACAACGUGCAGGUUAGUUACAUAUGUAUACAUGUGCCAUGUUGGUGUGCUGCACCCAGUAACUCGUCAUUUAACAUUAGGUAUAUCUCCUAAUGCUAUCGCUUCCCACUCCCCCCACCACACAACAGGCCCCAGUGUGUGAUGUUCCCCUUCCUGUGUCCAUGUGUUCUCAUUGUUCAAUUCCCACCUAUGAGUGAGAACAUGCGGUGUUUGGUUUUUUGUCCUUGAGAUAGUUUACUAUUGCAAACUGGAAUGAUGGUUUCCAGCUUCAUCCACGUCCCUACAAAGGACAUGAACUCAUCAUUUUUUAUGGCUGCAUAGUAUUCCAUGGUAUAUAUGUGCCACAUUUUCUUAAUCCAGUCUAUCAUUGUUGGACAUUUGGGUUGGUUCCAAGUCUUUGCUAUUGUGAAUAGUGCCUCAAUAAACAUACAUGUGCAUGUGUCUUUAUAGCAGCAUGAUUUAUAAUCCUUUGGGUAUAUACACAGUAAUGGGAUUGCUGGAUCAAAUGGUAUUUCUAGUUCUAGAUCCCUGAGGAAUUGCCACACUGACUUCCACAAUGGUUGAACUAGUUUACAGUCCCACCAACAGUGUAAAAGUGUUCCUGUUUCUCCACAUCCUCUCCAGCACCUGUUGUUUCCUGACUUUUUAAUGAUUGCCAUUCUAACUGGUGUGAGAUGUUAUCUCAUUGUGGUUUUGAUUCGUAUUUCUCUGAUGGCCAGUGAUGAUGAGCAUUUUUUCAUGUGUCUUUUGGGUGCAUAAAUGUCUUCUUUUGAGAAGUGUCUGUUCAUAUCCUUCACCCACUUGUUGAUGGGGUUGUUUGUUUUUUUCUUGUAAAUUUGUUUGAGUUCAUUGUAGAUUCUGGAUAUUAGCCCUUUGUCAGAUGAGUAGAUUGCCAAAAUUUUCUCCCAUUCUGUAGGUUGCCUGUUUAUUCUGAUGGUAGUUUCUUUUGCUGUGCAGAAGCUCUUUAGUUUAAUUAGAUCCCAUUUGUCAAUUUUGGCUUUGGUUGCCAUUGCUUUUGGUGUUUUAGACAUGAAGUCCUUGCCCAUGCCUAUGUCCUGAUGGAUGGGGUCUUGCUCUGUCACCAAGGCUGGAGAGCAAUGGCGUGGUCUUGGCUCACUUCAAUCCUUGCCUCCCGGGUUCAAGUGAUCCUCCUGCCUCAGCCUCCCGAGUAGCUGAGAUUAUAGGCACGUGCCACCAUGCCCAGCGAAUUUUUGUAUUUUUAGUAGGGAAGGGGUUUCACCAUGUUGGCCAGGCUGGUCUCGAACUCCUGACCUCAGGUGAUCCCCCUGCCUCGGCCUCCCAAAGUGCUGGGAUUAUAGGCAUGAGCCACCAUGCCCGGUCAGUUCAUUGCUUUUUUGUGUGUGUGAAUAAUUUGGUAAAUUUUCUUUUUCCACGGCCUUUGGGAUUUUAUGUGGUUUUGGCCACAGAAGGAGUCCAGGUCUCCGAGUCUCUUGUCGUUUGUGCCUUCAUGGCACCAUGUGAACUCUCCUUUUCUUUUUGUUGCUCAUUUUUGUAGGCCUGCUGGACAAAUUCAAAUUCCAAAACAGAAGAUAGCCAACAAACCCAGAAGAUAUUGACUCUUUAUAUUCAUGCUUUCACAGAACAAUGAUGAGUGGUACUAUUCUGCAGGAUAAAAUUGGAAAGAACUCAGUACAUUCAUUGUUCAAAGCAAUUGAUUCACCCUUGAGAAAGCAGGCCGGUAGUUGAAGUGUGUUUACACAGUGACUCAGCUUCUGCUCAGAAUUGGGUAACAGGUCUUUAUUAUCUUUACUUUCUUUCUUAGAAAAAAAAAUUGACUAAGUUUUUACAGUGGGAUGAUUGCAGCAUUUGGAGGUCUGCAUAAAAAUUUCAAAUAUUGUUGUUCAGCAUUUUUGAAGAGCCCCAUUAUGAUUUAGUCCCCAUUUCAGUUCUUUCUCACCACAAGAAAAAAGAUGCAGUUUUCUUUUCUUACUUAAAUCUAUCAAUGAGGUAACUCUCUGAGUCGUGUGUGUGUGUGUUGUGUGUGGGUGCUGUUGUGUAUGUGUGUUGUGUGUGUUUAUACCAAUAAAUUCAAAAGAUACUAAUAGGGCCUACUGAAGGUAAUAUUUUGCUAGCCACAUUUCUUUCCCCAAAUCCUUUUUUUAAAUUUAAUUUUAUUUUAUUUUAAACUCUGGGGUACAUACACAUGACGUGCAAGUUUGUUACAUAGGUAAACGUGUGCCACAGAGGUUUGCUGCACCUAUCAACCGAUCACCUAGGUAUUAAGCCCAGCAUGCAUUAGCUAUUUUUCCUGAUGCUCUCCCUCCCAUUGUACCCCGUGACAGGCCCCAGUAUGUGUUGUUCACCUGCCUGUGUCCCUGGGGUCUUUCCCCAAAUUUUAACAAAUAGCUUUUCUACAGUUUGAAGCUGUGAUUGAAAAUGGGGGAAUAGAAGAAGCUAGGAAGUCUUUAAACAAAGGACAUUAAAGUGUGUCCAAAUGAGUGGGAAACUGGGCCUCUUUAUAAUAGGCAUGCUAUGUCUUUUUGUGUUGAAUAAACACAGCUAUUCUGAAUGCAUCUCUGCUUUCAGAGACACACUGCAAAAAUGCUAAGGAUAGCUCAGCCUCUGGUACUAAUCCCUUUUGUGACUUUGAGCAAUUCCUGUAGCAUCACUAGAUUUUAAGUUUUCUCAUUUCCAAAGAAGACAGGUUAGUUCAAUGUUUCCUGACUUCAGUUAUGUGCAUAGCUUUCAUUUUUUGGUCAUAUCCCAUUAUUAUAGAUGUGGCAUAAUAUUUGUUUAUUUCUAAUAUUUUUUAUUAGAAAUAAA
Molecule: long non-coding RNA, 47469 nt
Filed under: Homo sapiens (human)
Lineage: Eukaryota; Metazoa; Chordata; Mammalia; Primates; Hominidae
Description: non-protein coding lnc-NUDCD2-2:10
Source: RNAcentral